AGGGAAGAAAAUCUUGUGGGAGUAGGGCUUCUAACAAUCCUCCAUGUGUGCUUCCUUUCUGUUUGCGUUGCUGAUAAAAAUCAGACCUUCAAAUCUUCUUGCGGAGAUAUGAACAUCAGUGACCCUUUCUAUUUGGAAGAUGAUUAUGCGCCUGACGUCUUUUAUCAUUACUUGAACUUGAUCUGUGAAAAUAAUCGUACUAUGGUAAACCUCGAUUACGGCGGAAAAUACCAUGUUGCAGACAUCAACUACAGUAGCUAUACCAUUCGGGUAGUGGAUCCGGGCCUAAAGGAAAAGGGCAUGGGAAACUGUUUCUCCUAUCCUCUCUAUUACUUCCGCAUAGAUCAGUAUCCAUAUGAUGUUCCUACAGAUUCUCAUCCUGUAGUUUUCAUUACAUGCCCAUGGCUGAUCACUGGUGACAAGAUUCAUAAGUACAUUCCUAUCAUUCCAUGCAACACGAAUCGCAGCUCCCCUUUCUCGCAACCAUACGCGUAUGCAAUAGUUGGAGAUUUGGAGUUCAGAGAUAUUCCCGAUUCAUGCAUCCUUGAUGGGAAUAUCGUCACUCAGUCAAAGGCAGUUGCGGAGGGAAGACAUUUAUCAAUGUCAGAUUUGCAAGAAGAGCUACUCAUGGGGUUUGAACUUUCAUUUCUGUAUUCCAUCUGCGCCAUAGAAUGCGAAGUGAAAGGGCUAUCCUGUGAUCUGAAUUUCACCAGCAAUACUUUCAAAUGCCACCACUCCAGCGCCGUAGAAUGUGGGUAUUACGUCUGCUUAAAGCCAAAAUUUGAGUAACAUUAUCAUUAAAGCCUCGUAAAGGAGGCUUGGAGUAAUGAAUUAGAUGUUAUUCAUGCAUGAUGAAAACUUUGAAGUCAAUUUUGAAGUGCCCCAUCAGUGACUAAUGUGUCUAUAUGAAUAAACAAUCAUGCAGGGAUCUGGAAAAUCUUGACAAUCUUGAUUAACAUUCCGAUUGUCUUAUAUGGUAAGGCCUCCGAGUUUUCCUUCUUUUUUUUUUGUCCUUAUUUCUCGAUAAUUUUCUUUUUUGUUUCAGUGAUAAUAAUAGUGAUAUUUUCACUUAUAUCUUUCUUAUUUUGAAUUCGAUAUCCUCUCUUACUCACAGCAUACACAUGGUAUCCCGAAAAUUUUAAAAUUUCAGGUGAGGCUUAGUAGCUCUCUCUUCAUAUUAAAUCAAUUACUUAUGCUUCCUUUUUUUCUUCAAAUUAUACAGAAUUGUUUUGCACUCAAUUCUACUUGCAAAAACUCAGAUUACUUGAUUGAUUCAAUCAUGCAGGACUUGAAGAAGCGCUCAAGUAUGGCGACUAUGCGUCCAUUGGUAAGUUUGAGGGGGAGUUCCGCUAUAUUUACCAACUUAAUUUUGCAUAGUCAUCAUUAUUUGUAGUUGUACUACAACUAUCCCUCCUCUUGUAUAAUAAGGAUGAUUUGAAGAUUAUAAUUAUAACUUAAUUUAAUUCAUAUUCUUUUCUGAAUUUAAUUUAUGUUAUUCUUUUCUUAUCAGGAUACUGGAUAUUUCAUAAGAUUGGUAAGACUUCUCGUUCCCAACUUUUAAUUCUUCGUGGAAUAAUAUGUAUCUAUAAUGAAGCCUUUUUAUAUGAACACCUUUGAAUUUUUUUAUCCAACUGGGCCCUCAUUUAUAAAAUCAAAAGCUUAUAAUAAUAAUAAUAAUUGUUAUUAUUAUUAUUAGUAGUAGUAGCUUAGGGGAUUUGGAAUGCAUAUACUCUGGUCUAAAUUCAGUUUCUAGUCCACUUGUAUACAAAAAAAGUCAAAACUGUGGGAUCGGAAAUGAGGCCCCCAAAUCCAAAGCCCCAAUUUUUUCUUUACUACCCUGCAUAUUACUUCCAUAGAGAGCCCCCAAGCAGCACAGUUCAAAACUCAAAUCCAAUCUCAAAAGGUUUCACAAUACCUUUAUUUUUAGAUUAAUGAGCAAGGCAACUGCCUAAUGGUUUACUUGGUGGAUUUAAUAUUAAUUGAAUGCAUAUGAUCAUAAACAUUUUCUAAUAUAUUUCAUAUUUUUUGUGUUGCUUUAUGCAUGUUCAGUCAUAAUAUACAAUGGAGUACGAAUUGUACUUGGGAUGUUCAUGUUUGCCUAUUUAAUCUACAAGUUUCGGCGGAGACACUUAUCAUUAGAUGAUAAUAUUGAAGAAUUCCUACAAAAUCACAAAAGUCUUCAACUCAUAAAGUACUCUUAUUAUGAUAUAAAAAAGAUGACCAACAGUUUCAAGGAUAAAUUAGGACAAGGAGGCUUUGGCUCUGUUUAUAAGGGAAAGCUCAAGAGUGGUCGAGUUGUUGCAGUAAAAGUACUGGUUAUGUCUAAAGCUGAUGGGCAAGAUUUUAUCAAUGAAGUGGCUACAAUUGGAAGGAUCCAUCAUAUUAAUGUGGUGAAACUUGUUGGAUUUUGCAUAGAAGGUUCAAAAUGGGCUCUUAUAUAUGACUUCAUGCCUAAUGGAUCUCUUGAUAAGUUUAUUUUUCCGAAACAUGAAAACAAUACCCCCUUAAGUUGGGAGAGGUUGUAUAAGAUUGCACUUGGAGUAGGGCAUGGGAUUGAAUACUUACAUCAAGGUUGUGAUAUGAAAAUUCUACAUUUUGAUAUCAAACCACACAAUAUUCUUCUCGAUGAAGACUUCACUCCAAAAGUUUCAGAUUUUGGCCUUGCAAAGUUGUAUUCAACAGAUGAAAGUAUUGUUUCUCUCACAAAAGCAAGAGGAACAAUGGGAUACAUUGCUCCAGAAUUGUUCUACAAAAACAUUGGAUGCAUAUCAAAUAAGGCCGAUGUUUAUAGUUUUGGAAUGUUGUUGAUGGAAAUGGUGGGUAAAAGGAAGAAUUUGAAUGCAUUAGCAGAUCACUCAAGUCAAAUAUACUUCCCAUUAUGGAUAUAUGAUAAAUUUGACCAAGGGGAGGACAUUGAAAUGGGAGAUGCCACAGAUAAUGAAAAAAUAUCUGUAAAAAAAAUGGUGAUAGUUGCAUUAUGGUGUAUACAGAUGAAGCCCACAGAUCGUCCUUCGAUGAGCAAAGCAUUGAAGAUGCUAGAAGGUGAGAUUGAACUCUUGCAAAUGCCUCCUAAGCCUUCUCUAUAUUAUGAUGUAUUGAAGGUAGAGGAUCAGGUGAGCAAUCAAGUAGGAGUACCGGUUUCAUCACUUAAUGCCAUGGAUACAAUCACCUUAACCGGAAGGUAGUGCCACAUUGUAUCUACUUGCAUGCUUUGUCCCUUGAUAAUGUUUUCUUGGCUUAGAUGUAAGGAUCGUUGCUUUUCAUGUAUCAAAUGUAUUUGUCCUAAAGCACUGGCUUGGUUCCUAGAAGGUCUCCAUACAUGAGUAGUCUUCUCCAAGGCCUUUGAAAUUCUUAAAUAAAGUUUUGUUUCCUUUCAAGCAAGUUUCGUUCAUUUUUUAAUAUUCUGAAGUAAAAAUAUUUAUGGUUGCAGAGUAGUGAUUAAAGACUAGUGACAAACCAUAUUACAAUCAUCUUGAUUCAUGGAGCUGAAAUUUUAUUUCAAUAUAUAGAAUUUAACAUUUUUUUCAGCAAGUGCUGUAUUAGAGCUAAAAAUUCGUAGGUAGCAGCUUCGCAAACUGUACUACCAAGUGUAGCAGCUUCGACUACCACUAGGUAGCAUGCUUCCUACAAACAAAGGAAAGUUCCAUAUGGGGGUUGGUUUGGCAUAUCCCUAUUUAAUCGUAAGUUAGCACUCUGGUGGCAACAAAAUGGAGAGAAAAGGAAAAGAAGACAGUGUCCUUGGCAAAACUUAGGUGGGCUUAAUCAAACACAAAAGAAAUUGAACUAUCCAAAAGUGCUGGUCUAAUCUAAAUGUGUAGGCCCAAGCGUACAAACACAAAAAUAAACUGCCCAAAAGUCUAGGUUCAAUCCAAAAAUAUAGGCCCCACCCAGCUGUACAGACACAAAUCUAGGUUUAAUCAUCCAAAUUUCUAUAAAAUUAUAAAUGGGUCAAUGAUUAUAUGUGGAUAACUAAGUUUAUUUAUCACCAAAUUUUUUUAUUUAUUUUUAAAUUUUUUAAUGUUUACUUAUUUUCAGUUGUUUUUUUUUACUUUUUUGGUUCACAUCCUCCCAAAAUAAACCUCUACAAAUAAAUUAAUUGCAACAUUCAUACUACUUUUUAUAUUUCAUGCAUAUAGAAUAAUGGUAAAAAAAAUAUAAAUUAAAAAAAAACCCCAGAAAAAACAAUAAAAAUAGAACAACAUGAAAAAGAAAUAAAAAAUAAAUUAAUUUACAUUAAAAAAAAAAAAACUAUUAGAAAAAGAUAGAAGAGGGGGAACAAAAAAAACUAAAAAGGUAUCUUUAAUACACAACUUCUUGAUAAAAUACUAAAAUUAUGUCUUCAUCACAACUUCAUAAUACUUUACUAAUAAUGUAAUGAAAUCAUGUCUUCGAGGCUUUGGGACGGGUUGGGUCCCAAGUAAUUAUCAUUCCCACUCUAAUAAAAACAUUUAAACAAGGUGAGGCGGGUUCCACCCCGUGUAAUUUCUUUUAAUUUUCAAUUUUUUUUAAACAAUUAAUUUUAACUUCUUCUUCUUUUUUUAUUAAAAAUAUAUAUUAUAAAUAAAUAAAAUAUUAUAGUUUUUUUAUAACUUGUGUUAUUGAAAACUAAUUUGUGUUAAAAAUUGGAACAUAAAAAAUUAAAUUAAAUUACUUUUUAAAAUUAGCUAUAUAUAAUCGGGGAAUAGAGGGAGAAGGUAAUGUCUCGAAUCUCAAACCUACUCUUAACCUAUUUAUUUUAAUUUCAAAUUCAUUUCAUUAGGAGCAAAGUAGAGCAGGUACCUUAAAAAAUUUGUUUCAUUAUCAUCCCUUUUCAAUACAUUACUUCAUAAUGAUAUACUAAAAUUAUGUCUUGAAAACAUGAUUUUAAGACAAAGAACUAUAUGACUCUUUUUUUUUUUUUUAAACUUAUCCGAUACAAAAUGACAUAAUUUUAUCAAUAAUUAAACUAUCAAGUUUUUACAAAUGAUUCUUUUAAUUUAUCAAAAAUCAAGGCAAACAGCCAGUUUUGAAAAGGAACUUUUUUUCAAGGGGCUUUGAAAAAAAAUAAAAACAUUUUAAAAAUAUUUAUUAAAAUAUAAUACUUUUGAAACUAUUCGCAAAUCAAUUGCAUUAUUAAGGAAUUGAAUUGAAUUGAAAGUUAUCUUUUGAAUAGAUAAUUUUAAUUAAAUUUUAAAAUUAUUUUAAAAAAUCAUAUUUAAUUUUUUUUCAAAAAUAAUUAUAGACCCACAUUUUUUAAGUGCGUCCCCACUCGAAAGGGCGAGACUCUCUUUUUUUAUUUGUGAAAAAUUGAUUUUUUUUAAAAAAAAUUAAAGUUGCCGCUUAUUUCAAUUUAUUUUUAAAAGGAAAAACAAAAUGAGAAAAAAAAAACUCUAUCAGACUCAUUUUUUGGAAAAAGACAUAUUUGCAAAAACUAAAUCUAAAUUUGAGGGUUACGAUACCUAUUUGGUUUCUAGUAAGCGAAUUGAAGGAAUUAUGAUAAUUAAUUAAUUAAUUAUGGCUUGCAUAUCUACAGUAAGUGAAUUGAGAUAAUUAUGGUAAGUAAUUAAUUAAUCAUAAAUACCAAGAUUAAGAAGACAAAUCAAUGUACAAAAAAAUAAUCAUAAAAGUAAAUUAUAAUAGUAUACAAGGUAAAUGACAAGAUAAUUAAUCAAAUUGAUUUAUUAAUCUAAUUAAAAAAAGAAUAUUUUAAAUUAAAAACAAUUUCAAAUGAAUGGUUUCAAUUUAUUUAUUUAUAAAAAUGUUUCAAUUCAUUUCCAAUAAAUGGUUUAAUUCAAUUUUAUUUGUGUUUAAUUUUUAAAAAAAGUAUCAAAAAAAUUUAUUACAAAAUUUUCAAUUUUGCAAUAAAAAGAUUUUUACUUUUACCAGAAAAAGAAUGAAAUUUUAAAACUUUAUUUGCAAAAGUAUUUCAAUUUGAUUUUAUUUACAAGGGAAUUAAUUUCUUUACAAACUUUAUUUACAAAAAUAUUUUCAACCCAACUUUAUCAAGAAAAAUGAUUUCUACAACUUCAAUUUGCAAAAGACUCUCAUCCUAAUCUCAUAAAAAAAAAUUAUUUAAAAUCUCUAUUUAUAAAAAAUACUUUUAAUCUCAUUCUAAUUCUAAUGAAGGAAACAUAAUUUAUUUAAAAAUCAUUUUUUGGGGACAAUUUUUAUUUAUAAAACAAUUUUUUUAACAAAUUUUAUUAAACAAAUAAAUUUCCAAACAAUAGUUGGUAAAAACAAUUUUUUGAAUUUUAUUAAAAAUAAUUUUCUGGAUUUUCCUAAAAACAUUUUUUUUAAUUUUUAUAAAAAAAAAACUUUCUUUUAUUAAAAAUAAUAUUUUCUAAACUAUUGUUUUUAUUAAAACGUAAUUGCUAACUAUUCCUUUUAUUAAAACAAAAUUUUUAAGUUAUCAACUAUUCAAUUCUGCAUACACUUAUAUACAUAAAAACAUUUACAUAAACUAAUAAAAAUUAAAUUAAAUAGAAAUAAGGAAAUAAAAUAUGUACCUAGACAAGCCUACAACAAGCUCAAUGCCCAAUUUACAACUUUCGUAAACCUCAUUUUCUUCUAUGAAAUUUGGUUCUCCACAUGUCACAAAUCCGUGCAGUCCAUGCAAAACAAAAAUGAGCCCAGAUGUAAAUAUCCAAAAAUAUGCAAAGCCCAAAAUAAUUAUUCAAACUCAAGUUCAAAUUUUAAAUUGGUCCAAUAAAUUUUACCAAUAAAAAUAGAUCUAAAUUAAUUAAUAUGCCCAACAAAAAUAUCUCUCAUAUCAAUAUCCUUAUCCAAUAAUCGCGCAAUUUAGUCAAGCCCGAAAUAUCAUAAAACAAAAUAAAUUUAAUUAAACCUAAAUUUAAUAUCACAUAUUCCAAACUUGAUAUGCGAAUCCAAAUCCAAAAUCCAAUUAUUACUAAAUCCAAAUAAAACAUACAUUAACAAACAAGACCCGACUCAAAAUACAAGGCUUAAAAUAUAUCCAAACUAUCUAAACUUAACCCAAAGCUUAGAAAUAAUAUCCCCAGUAAAUGCAAACCCAAAAAUAAUAUAAAUUCGCUCAAACAAACAAUCUUAAUAAUCAAUAAUAAAUUACUGUAAAAAUUAAAUAAAAAUAAUAAUAAAAAUAAAAUAAAAUAAAAUAAAAAAAUAAACUUACAUAAAUUUGAAGAAAAUGGGGAAAUGUGAGAUGGGUGGAAGGGGGAUUGCCAGCCGGCAGUUACGUCGCCGGGCGGCAGUGGCGUCGACGAUGCUACAGGCGGCGGUGAGAUUGGAUGGUUUUUGGGUGAGGGAAGAAAUGGGUGUGGGGAAGAGGAAAAGAAGAAACAAAAGAAAAAAAAAAAAAAGAGGGAAAAUGAAGAGGGGAAAGGGGUGUGGUCCUGUGGCAGUCUGAGCUGGGGAUGGGGAGAGAGGGUAGGGGAGGAAACUGGAAAGGAAGACAAAAAAAAGUUAAAAAAAAAAAUGAGGUGGAGAAAAAGAAAAUGAAAAGGAAGGAUAGAGGGGUGGGGGUGGGGGUGGAGAGAAAGUUGUAGUGGGAAGAGAGAGGUGAAAAGAAAAAAAUAAAAUAAUAAUAAUAAAAUAAUAAAAAUAGAAACAACUUAAAAAGGUGUGAGUGGAUAAAAAAAUUCAGAUAUAAUUGAUAUUUAAAUUUAAGGAUAAAAUUGAACUCAAAACUAAAUAUAAAAAUAAGUUUUAGACAAAUUUUAAGGUUUAUAAUAAUUUUCAAUUCAUGUUAUAAAAAGUGUGAUAAAUUCAAAAAUUGUUUUAAAAAUGUCAUGCUUUAAUAAAUAGUUUUAAAAAAAAAUUCGGUCAAAUUUGUCCUCAAAGCCUUCUAUCGGGGCUUAUGCCUACAUGGAGCAUGAGAUGACACCCUUCAAACCCAUAUGCGCUUCAUAAAAAUUAAAAUAAAAAGUGAAAAAACAAAACAAAACAAAAAUUGGAAAGCAAAAACAAAAACCCCCGACGGUUUGAAAUAAGAGUCUCUUCAUCCAUUUUUUUUUUUGUUUGAAAUAAGAGUCUCUUCAUCCAUUUUUUUUUUUUUUUCAAAUCAUGUUAUCAAGGAUAAGGUAAUAAAAUUAACAAGCUAUUUAAGUCAUCCAAUAAUAUGUUACAAGAAAGCCCUAUAAGGCUGUUAAAGAAAGUAAAAAUAAAUAAAUAAAUAAAAAUAUUUCCAAAUCUUAUUAUUUGAUUUAUCCCAAGUCAAAAACUACUUUGAAACUUUGAAAACUCAUUAAUUUUAAAUUAUAAAAAAGUUACAUAUUUAAAAAAAAAAAAAAUUCCCAAUGUGAUCCAUAGUAUGCAUAGUCGGUAUGUUAGACUUAAUUAUUUUCAAACAAUAAGUAUUGUUUACGAAAAGCUUAGGUUCUGUUUGUGACUAUUUUCGAAAAUAGUUAUUGAGUAUAUAUUUUUUAAAACCUUUUUAUAAUGUUUUAUACGAUAAAAGUCUAUUUUAAAACUUAAAAUAUUUUUAAUAUAUUUUUAAUAUUUUUAAAUAUAUUUUAAAAAUAAUUUAUAUAUUUGAUGUUUUAUUUUUAAUCAUUUUACAUGUUUAUAUUAUUAUUUUUUGAAAUAGUCUUCAAAAAACAACUAAAAAUAAUUAAAAUGUGUUAUGUGAAAAAUGUUAUAUUACCUUUAACUUGAAUAUUUAAUUUUUUUUUUUAAAUAUUGUAUCAUUUAUAUCUUUUAAUCCCAAUUUUAAUAUUUGAUUUCCACUUUCAUACUUUUUUAAGUAUAAUUUUUAUGUCAACCUAAAAAGUUUUCAUCAUACUGAGCUAUUGGCACUCUCCACUUGCGAUACUUUGAAAUACUACAAUCGUCAAACCGCAUGAGAACUGAAACAAUCGAAGAAGACACCACCACGCUAUGGGAAAGCAGAAACAGCAGGUGAUCUCCCGUUUCUUCGCUCCCAAAUCUAAAGCCCCUUCAUCAUCUUCAUCUUCAAUACCAUCAUCACCAUCUCCAUCUCCAUCUCCAUCUUCGCUCCCAAACCCACCAACCCCUCCACCGAAAAUCUCCACCACUGUCACUUUCUCUCCUUCCAAACGCCUUCCUUCCUCCCACGUGUCCCCCUCCACCAAACCCCCCAAAGCCCCCAAAAUCUCUCACCCCAUUGACCCCUCUCUCCACCAAAAGUUCGUACAGAAGCUUCUUCAGCCUUCUUCCUCAACACCCACAAAGCUCCCACUUCCAACCACCAAGUACACUCCACUGGAGCAACAAGUCGUGGACCUAAAGCAAAAAUACCCAGAUGUUCUAUUGAUGGUAGAAGUUGGGUAUAGGUAUAGAUUCUUUGGUGAGGAUGCUGAGAUUGCAGCUAGGGUGUUGGGCAUUUAUGCUCAUGUUGAUCACAAUUUCUUGACUGCUAGCAUACCAACUUUUCGAUUAAAUGUCCAUGUGAGGAGGCUUGUCAGUGCAGGGUUUAAGGUAGGUGUUGUUAAGCAGACCGAAACUGCAGCCAUUAAGGCGCAUGGUUCGAAUAAACUGGGACCCUUUUGCCGGGGUUUAUCGGCAUUGUACACGAAGGCGACGUUGGAGGCAGCAGAGGACGUGGGAGGUGGGGAAGAGGAAUGUGGGUCUUAUAAUAAUUACUUGGUUUGUGUAGUUGAGAAAGGGAUUAGUGUAGAAAAUAGUAAAGAUUGUGGUGUUGGGGGUGGGUUUGAUGUGAGAAUUGGGAUUGUUGCAGUUGAAGUAUCAACGGGGGAUGUUGUUCAUGGGAAGUUCAAUGAUAAUUUUAUGAGGGCUGGGCUUGAGGCUGUGAUUUUGAGCAUGUCUCCUGCUGAAUUGCUUCUUGGAUACCCGCUCUCUAAACAAACAGAGAAGGUAGAUUUUAGUUACAGUGUCAUUUGGUGUCUUAGCAGAAGUGGGAGAUAUUUACUUUUUCAUAUGCGUUUAUCGUGUCGUUCCUUUUGUGUUUUUAUCUAUAUAAGACUUCUAUGUAAUUCCAUUGAACUCCAUUAUUGGUCAUUUCUAUUUAUAGAAAUCAAAUUAUUAUUCCUUCAAGGCUCCCUUCUAUAUAGCACAUUGAACUCCAUGAUUAAUUAUUUGUAUAAAUGGAAAUCUACUUUGGUUCUACUUCAAAAGGGUGCAGGACCAUCAUUGUUUCAUCUGGAUGUUCUUAAAGGUUUGAUCUUUUUCUUAAAGGCAAAUAAAUAAAACUAUUGGCAAGCAUUCUUAGUUAUUCAACUUAUUCCUUAUAAUGAAAAAAAAAGGGAAGAGUUCAUAAUUUUGAAAUCCAAACCAGACUUAUUCAAAUUAAUUAUGCUAGAACUGCAGUGCGGAUUCAAUUUAAUUGUUAUUAAACAUAAGUGGUAAUGGGGAAUCCAUUUGCUUUUAUUGAAAUAAUUUCGAAAAUGUAAUUCUUUCAUAUACAAUGUUCUCUUUAACUGUUUCAUCCUUGGAAUAGAACUUAUCAACUGAUAUUUAGCGUGUGAUAUGGAAUACUGGCUUUUAAAUUUAGUCUGGUUAUUAACUUGAAAGAUGCUGGUUAUUUACAGAUGGCUUAUUCAACAGCUUUCUGUAGGCAUCUUGUUCAUAAUGUCAAAAUAGAUGAUUUCAAUAAGAUACAGAUAAAUAUAAGGAAAAUUUGAAACUUAUAUUUGAAUCAUAUUACACAAAAGAGAAAGUUAGAAUGGAUUUAUAUGUGUCAUUUUCUAAUUUCUACGUUCAGUACGGUACAAUAUCAAGACACUUCUUGCCAGUCUAAUUCUCAGUUACACUGAUGGGUUCUCUUUUGUCUAAAUCUCUCACAAGGAAAACCGGGAUCAAGCAAAAAUCCUUGUUCAGUCUUGUCAGUUUUAUUGAUCUAGGCUUUCCUUUACCCUAGAGAAUCUAUUUCCACAUAAUUUUUGCGCUCUAACUUGGACACUAGUUCUAAUAGAAUUUUUUGUGAUUCAUAUCUGUGUUGGGUCUGAACAUACAUAAUAAAUAGUUAUAAUGCCCCUUAUCUUGUUUGAGCAAAAGCCUAGAGAAUCCCCCUUCUCCAUAUCUAGUUAUGAGUACAUAUCUAUAGAGGGUUUUUUUUUUAGGUCAAUGGUUAGGCAUUAGAAUCGUCAGGUUGUGGUAAUUAUUGGGUUUAUCUUAUUGUUGGAGGGUGGGGAAUAGGAAAUUUGCUUUUCUGAACAGUUUUUGUUUGAGUGAUGGGUUUGCUAAGAAAUUGUGGUAAGGAAAUUAUGACUUAAUGAGAGUGCAAACAGUAGGACUUUCUUUUGGGGUUUUAAGCUUUUGUCCUGUUACGUUACUUCCUAGAAUGCCUCUUGUUCAAUCCACUGAGAAGGCAACUUUUACUUGUAGCAGACAUUGUCCAACAGCAAGUGAAGGAAAAGUUCUAUAGCUUUUGUAAUCAAGUUUUAGACAUAUACUAUGUACAAAAUUAAGCCAUACCUAAUUUUGGUCCCUGUCAGUGUCUCCUUAUAACAUUUCAGCACCACCACCCAUAGACCUUGCUCUACUUGAGUGACCAUACAACUCGCUUAACCAGUACAUCUUCUGGUAUAAGACAACCAAAACAUCAUUACUUGGAUUUCAGAGGUGUACUUUAGAAAUACCUUUGAUCUACCCUUUGCUUUUUCUUAUUAUUUAUUGUAUUUGGUGCAUUCCAUCUUUGCUUUAUUAUCUGUUUGGAAACCCUCUUCGAUAAUAAUGGUGGUGAUGUCCUUUAUGCCAUUUAGAAACAAAAAUAUUAUUUAAAAUCAUUUCUUCAUGCUCACGUCCUAUAAAAUGAUUGCAUCCAAUUUUGAUAUUGGGCUACUUAAAUUUGCAUUGAUGACUAUAUGAUGGUUUAUUACUAGUUGCUAUUAGCCUAUGCUGGACCUGCAUCAAAUGUUCGUCUGGAGCGUACCUCAAGAGAUUGCUUCAGUGAUGGUGGAGCACUUGCUGAAGUUAUGUCUUUAUAUGAGAACUUAAGUGAAGAUAGUAGAGUUGAUCAUCAAGUGGACAACACAGAAGUGAUGGAACAGGAAAAUCAUUGCCUGGCAAUUGAGGUCUUAGUGUUUGUUGACUUUCUCGUGUCAGGAACGAAACAGUAUGAAUUGCUGCUUCUUUGGACAUAUAUUUUCAUUUUAGCCACCAACCACCUCUUAUGUGAAAUUUGUGAGUGCUCAUUAUGGUUCUGGUAUAGCCUUGGUUUCAUGAAUUGCUUAAUCAUCGGGUGGUCAAUGUGGGGGCCUUCCCCGAUAACAACUUUCUCUGGUCAUUGUUGGUUUGUGAUUUUUGUGGACGAUUGCAACCGCAUGACACUUCUCUACCAAAUGAAGACCAAAGCCGAAGUUUUCAUGAUUUUUCAAGCAUUUCAUGCCAUGGUCUAGACACAAUUCUUAGCCAAGAUUCAAAUCCUUUGUUUGGACAAUGGCGGAUAAUUUAUCAAUCAUGAAUUUCAAACUUAUUUCCAACAUUAUGGCCUCAUCCAUGAGACAUCGUGCUCUUAGAUACCAUAACAAAAUGGCGUCAUCAAGAGAAAAAAUCGACAUAUCUUAAAAACAGCUCGUGUUUUACUGCUUGGAAAGCUUAUGUGCCUAGUCGCCAUUGGGGGGAUACGGUGACUACUGUUGUGUAUUUACUGAACUGUGUGCCUUCCAAGGUCUUAGAUUUCAAGACUCCCCUACAGGUUCUUACUACUCAUGUUUCUCUACCUACUAUGUUGAUGCUUCCUCCUCACAUUUUUGGGUGUGUUGCCUUUGUCCAUCUCCACAAAAAUCAACAUAUUAAACUGGACCCAUGUGCAAUUAGGUGCUUGUUCUUGGGCUAUGGGUUACAUAAAAAAGGCUAUCAGUGCCACGAUCCCCUUGCCAACUGUACCUAUAUAACCAUGGAUGUUACAUUCCUUGAAUCUAAAAUAUUUUAUCCAUCAUUGGUACCCAAUUCUCCUCUUCAAGGAGGGACUCAAGUUGAAGAGCUGAAUUGGAUGAUGGCUUCAAGAGGUGAGAUGGCUUCAAGACUUGAGACUGAAAAUGGAGAAAUUGAAUCUCAAAUGGAUAAUGCGUAUUCAGUAGGUGUAGAACUUAGAAAUGAAGGAAAUGAAACACCUAAAAAUGGAGAGGCUGAAAAUGAAGAACUCGUAAAUGAUGAACCUAAAACUACGAAACCUCCUCACUUCCAAGUGCCCGAAGACUCUCCUCCUAGGAAUAUUUCAGAGGUAAGCACUCCCACCACAUCUUUACAAACUAAUGUUUUGGAGACACCUGUAGGUUAUGCUUUGCCUUUCAGACAUAACCGUGGCAAACCACCAAAUAGAUACUCUCCUGACGAGGAAGAAAGAAGGUCCAAGUACCCAAUUACAAAUUAUGUGUCCACUUAAAACCUAUCAAAACCUCUCAUGACAUUUACUUAGACGUUGUCCUACUGCCAUAUUCCUAGGAGUGUUGAAGAGGCCUUACUCAAUCCAAAAUGGACAGAAGCUGUAUAGGAAGAACUAGAAGCUUUAAAGAAGAACAAUACUUGGAAGUUAGUCUCACUGUUAGAAAUGGAAGAAAAUAGUGGGGUGCAAAUGGGUGUUCUCUAUAAAAUAUAAAGCUGAUGGAUCCGUCGACCGAUACAAGGCCAGACUUAUGGCGAAAGGAUUUACACAAACGUAUGAUAUAGAUCAUUUGGAAACUUUCUCACUAGUGGCCAAACUAAAUACUGUUAGAGUUCUAUUGUUUCUUGCAGCAAAUUUAGACUAGUCACUACACUAGCUCAAUGUAAAGAACGCCUUUCUCCAUGGCGACCUUGAAGAGGAAGUAUACAUGGACAUUCCUCCUGGAUAUGCAACAUCUUCUGAGACCAAGAUUGUUUGCAAAUUGGAACGAGUGUUAUGGGUUGAAACAGUCACCUCGGGCGUGGUUUGGCAAAUUUAGUUCUACUAUGCAAAAGUAUGGUUAUCAUCAAAGCAAUUCUGACCAUACUCUCUUCCUAAAACACCGACAAGGCAAGGUGACAACUCUAAUAGUCUAUGUAGAUGACAUGAUUAUCACAAGGGAUGAUGUAGAAGAGAUCUCGAGGCUGCAAGAACACUUGGCUACUGAAUUUGAAAUGAAGAACUUGGGGGCUAAAGUAUUUUUUGGGAAUAGAGGUGGCAAGAUCACAAAAAGACAUAUUCCUAUCUCAAAGGAAAUAUGUAUUGGAUCUACUAUUAGAGGUGGGACUAUUGGAGUGCAAAUCGGUGGAUACUCCAAUUGCUCAGAAUCAUAGGCUUGGGGAAUACUUAGAUCAAGUGCCAGCUGAUAAAGGGAGGUACCAAAGAUUAGUGGGUAAGCUCAUCUACUUAUCUCACACUUGCUUACGUCAUAAGUGUAGUGAGCCAAUUCAUGCAUUGUCCUAGUGAAGACCAUAUGAGUGCAGUAGCUCAAAUCCUUCACUAUUUAAAGUCCUCACCAGGGAAAAGGUUGAUGUUCUCCAAGAAUAAUCAUCUGAAUAUUGAAGGGUACAUGGAUACGGAUUGGGCAAGGAAUAUCUUGGACAUGAAAUCUACUUUGGGUUAUUUUACAUUUGUGAGUGGCAAUUUAGUUACAUGGAGAAGCAAGAAGCAAAAGGUAGUGGCACUGUCCAGCGUAGAGGCUAAGUUCCGAGGCAUGGCAAAAGGACUCUGUGAGCUCCUUUGGCUUUGACGGUUACUAACAUAGGUUGGUUUUGCCCCUAGUUUUGCAAUGAAUUUGUUAUAUGAUAACAAAGCUGCCAUUGACAUAGCCCACAAUCUAGUUCAACACGAUCAUACCAAGCACAUAGAGUUGGACUGACAUUUCAUCAAACAGAAUCUUGAGGAUAAGAUUAUUCAGUUUCCAUUUGUCAAAUCGAAAGAUCAGUUGGCAGACAUACUUACAAAGGCAAUUUCUAGAAAAAACUUCUGUAACUCCCUUGACAAGUUGGGUGUUAGAGAUAUCAACGCACCAACUUGAGGGGAAGUGUUAGCAUGGGUCUUAGAUCAGCAGGUUUAUAGAAACACUAGCCAUAGACCUUGUAUAGGCAAAGAAUAGCUUCCUAAAAUCCCGUUCUUGUAUUUAUAUAUCUUGUACACAUUCAAUGGAAAAAAUAUACAAGAAAUGAAUAUUGUGUGACAAAUUGAAAACUAUGAAAAAAUAUGAUUCAAAAGAAAAUGGAAAGGAAAAAUAAAAGAAAAAUAAUGAAAAAAAAGUAAAUUCAAAUUCAAUAAAUUAUUUUUAUAUAUUAGUUUAAAGAAUCAAACUCAUUUCACUUAUUUUAACUUUAAUAUAUAAAGAUUAAAUAAUUUUAAAAUAGAUAUUUUAAAAAAAAAUUAAUUAUAUUUAUUUUUUAUAGGACAACCAAAUAUAAAAAAAAUUGUUUUUUUAAUUAUUUUUUCUUUUGAUGACUCUUUCUAAACCAAAAGCCAAAUUCCAUUACUUUGUUUUUAUAAAGUGAUGAACAUUUGAAUUGCAAAUGAGGGAGAACUACCAUAAAAGUAGUAAUGCUCAUUUUUGAAUUCUCCUCUAUAAAGUUUCAUACUAAAAUAUGUCACCUGCAUGUAGUGAUUAAAAUAUCGCGAUAUUUUGACAAUAUAUUGUCGAAAUAUCGAGCUUCAAUGGACCUUGACACGAUAUAUAGGAGAUAAAUAUCACUACCUUGUUAUUUUAGUAAAUUAUCAAUAUUUUUGUCAAAUUUUCGGUAUUUAUCGGCAUUUUACUGAUUUUUCGCCUAUAUUUCACAAUAUUUUGGGACAAUCAACACAGUCAAACCCCAACCAAAAGGUUCUUCAUCCAUUGCGCUAAUCACUGCGGCAAGUUUGCCCCUUGUUAUAUAAGUUGCAGCAAAUAUAUAUAUAUAUACUCAAAUUCAUCAUAUAAACAUAAUAUUAAAAAAAAUGUUUUAAAGAACAAAUUAAUUAUAAUUAUUUUAUAAUUAAAUGAAAUUUUUUCAUUUAUUUGAAUAUCAAAAAUAUAAAAAUUAUUAUGAUAAUUUUCUUCAUAAUGUUUUUAAUAUCAUUAAAAUAUUAAAAAUUAUAUACAUAUAUAUAUAUAUAUCAUCAUUUAUUUUAUGUCAUUUAAUAUGAUUGCAUUAAAUGAAUUAUAAUUUUAAUAUUAAAUAUAUUUUUAAAUUAGACAUAUUAUAAUCAAAUAUCACAAUAUUGUUAUCAAAUAAUAUUUGAUAUAAUUUAAUAAUAAAUGUAUAGUUAUGAAAUUCAUAUUUUUUUUAUCAAUGCAUAUAAUAUUAUUAUCAAAUAUGAUAAAUUAUAACGUGUGUAUAUAUAUAUAUAUAUAAAUUUAUUGAACAAAAUAAAUUUAAAAUAUCUAUUAUACUUCUAAUUUUAUUUUUAAGAGUUUUUUUUCUUAUAUUUUUUAUAAUUUUAGAUCAAUUUUAGGUUCAUCAAUAUUUUUUUAUCAACGUAUAUAAUAUUAUUAUCAAAUAUGAUAAAUUAUAAUGUGUGUGUGUGUAUAUAUAUAUAUAUAUAUAUAUAUAUAUAUAUAUAUAUAUAUAUAUAUAUAUAUAUAUAUAUAUAUAUAAAUAAAUUUAUUGAACAAAAUAACUUUAAAAUAUCUAUCAUACUUCUAAUUUUAUUUUUAAGAGUUUUUUUUAUUAUAUUUUUAUAAUUUUAGAUUAAUUUUAGGUUCAUCAAUAUUUUGCAUUAAAAUAUCCGGACAUACUUACUGAUAUUUUCAUCUUUACCUACAUGAUGGUCUUUAAUUUCUCAAUAUUUAUAUGCCCUUCUAGACCUUCUUUCUUGUCCCCCAUAUGUUUUUUCUUGGCAAAAAUCACAAAUUCCUUGCAUAUGAAGUCACCAAGAGCAGAAAAAACUAGAGAUCAAAAGUUCCUUAAAAUGAAUCUCUCUAGUUUUGUUCACGUUGAUGACAUUUUUUGUAGAGGUUAGAAGGCAUCGAAUUAAGCAUAUUUAUUAUUCUUUCUUUAUAUACUUCAUAAUAUAUUCUUGUCCGGACCUGAUAAUUGCCUUCCAAGGUAGAUUGGAAACAUCAAUUUAGUUGUCUCCCCUUUUUAGUUCAAACUUGGAUACGACUUCACCUUCUUCGAAUGUUCCUCGGAUAAAACAAAAUCAUUUGAUUUUCAGCCCAUACCUUGCCUUAACCCGCUCUUUAACCUAUUUAUUUUAAUUUCAAACUCAUCUCAUUAAGGAUAAGAUAGAGUGAACCUAAAAAAUUUGUUUCAUUAUCAUCCCUAUUCAAGACAUUACUUCAUAAUGAUAUAUUAAAAUUAUGUCUUGAAAACAUGAUUUUAAGACAAAGAACUAUAUGAAUUUUUAUUUUUAUUUAUUUUUAUUAUUUUUUUUUUUUUUUAAGCUUAUGUGACACAAAAUGUCAUAAUUUUAUCAAUAAUUAAACUAUCACUUUUUUACGCAUGAUUCUUUUAAUUUACCAUAAAGUUAUCAAAAAUCAAGGCAAACAACCACUUUUGAAAAGGAAUAUCUUUUGAGGGGCUUUGAAAAAGAAAAUAAAAACAUUUUUAAAAUACUUAUUAAAAUAUAAAUCUUUUGAAACUAUUCGCAAAUCUAUUGCAUUAUUAAGGAAUUCAAGUUAUCUUUCAAUGGAUAAUUUUAAUUAAAUUUUUAAAAAAUCAUAUUUAAAAUUUUUUUUCAAAAGAUAAUUAUGGACUCACAUUUUUCAAAUGCGAGACACUUGAAAUGGGGGGACUUUUUUUUUUUUUUUUAAUGAAAAAUUGUUUUUUUUUAUUUUAUAAAAUUGGAGUCGUCACUUAUUUUAAUUUAUUUUUAAAAAGGAAAACAAAAUAAAAAAAAAAACUCUACGUGACUCAUUUUUUUUGGAAAAAGACAUGUUUGUAAAAACCCAAUCUAGAUUCGAGGAUCAGAUUACUUAUCAUAAAAAUACGAUUAACAGUUGUAACACUCCUCUAAACCCAUAUACCUACGAUCUCUACUAAGCGAAUAGAGGGAAUUAUGGUAAUUAAUGAAUCAAUCAUGGAUACCAAAAUUAAGAACACAAAUAAAAAAAAUAAUCAUAAAAGUAUAUUACAACAUUAUACAAGGUAAAUGACAAGAGAAUUAAGCAAAUUGAUUUAUUAAUCUGAUUAAAAUAAAUAUUUUAAAUUAAAAACAAUUUCAAAUGAAUUAUUUCAAUUUAUUUAUUUAUAGAAAUGUUUCAAUUCAUUUCCAAUAAGUGAUUUGAUUCAAUUUUAUUUGUGUUCAAUUUUCAAUAAAGUAUCAAAAGAAUUUAUUACAAAAAUUUCAAUUCGACAAUAAAAAGAUUUUUACUUUUACCAGAAAAAAAAAUGAAAUUUUAAAACUUUAUUUGCAAAUGUAUUUCAAUUUGAUUUUAAUUACAAAUGAAUUAAUUUCUUUACAAACUUUAUUUACAAAAAUAUCUUCAACCCAACUUUAUUAAGAAAAAUGAUUUCUAUAACUUCAAUUUGCCAAAAUACUCUCAUCCUAAUCUCAUAAAAAAAUUAUUUAAAACCUCUAUUUAUAAAAAAAAUAAUUUUAAUCUCAUUCUAAUUCUAAUUAAGGAAACAUAAUUUAUUUAAAAAUCACUUUUUGGGACAAUUUUUUGGACAAACUUUAUUAAACAAAUAAAUUUCCGAACAAUAGUUGUUAAAAACAAUUUUUUUGAAUUUUAUUAAAAACAAAUUUCUGAAUUUUUUUAUUAAAAAAAUAUUUUUUGAACUAUUGUUUUUAUUAAAAUGUAAUUCCUGAACUAUUCAUUUUAUUAAAACAAAAUUUUUGAGUUAAAAACCGUUCAAUUCUGUAUACACCCAUCAAAUAUAUAAAAAAAAAUAUUUAUGAACUAAUAGAAAUGAAUGUAAACAGAAAUAAAAUAUGUACUCAAACAUUUACAACGAGAUCGUACUCGGUGACCACCCCAUCGUAGUCGCCGGAGCCGAGUACUCGGCCGGAGGAGCCCGGUUUCCACCUUAGGCUACUGAGCUUAGCCGGGGUCCAUAUAUAGUAGUCACAUGCAUUAUUGUGUUGUAACAAUUUAACGUUGUGCUCACCAUGGCUAUGAUUCUCGCCGGGCAACAAGGAUUUUACACUAUAAACUCUAAUUUUCCUAGCAAUUCCUCCAGUGGCCACGAGGCUAUCAGAGGGGUCGAACUCUAUGACGCCGAUGGUGUCGGUGCUGGCUCCGACGGAGCUCGAGGUAACAACAGUGGAGAGAUUGAAUUCCCAGUCGCACCUAGCUCUUUCUUCUUCUAUGUGUUGUUCUGCCUUUUCUUCUUGUAUGUUUGGGUUUUCUACUUCUGGGCUUUGAGGAUUGAAUUGCGUUGAGAAGUUUUUCAUUUCCCAUUCAUAAGUGACGAUAGUGGUGGAAUCUCUUGUCUUUCCGACCAAUGAAAGACUCCCAUUCAACCUUAUCUUGCCCGGAUAAUGGAAAACAAUUCAACUUUAUUCCUUUUUCAGUUUUUCAAAAUUUAUAUCCAUUCCUCUUUCAUUUAACAACCCUCAAUAUUACACCUAAUUACAAUAAUGCCAUUUUCCCAGGUAGGUUCUACCCCUGCAAACCCCUAAAAUUCAUGCAUGGAGUAGGGAUUGUGGGUGCAAUCUCAUGCUGCCAAGAUGGGCAUUUUGGGUAUUUUGUAACAAACCCUAUAAAUAGAAAGGGUUAUAAACUAUUAGAGAUGGGGAAUAAAUGAAAAAAAAAAUGAUAUAUCAAGUGGAUGAGAGGCAAAGGAAAUGGUGGAUGGUUUUGUGCCUCAAUUCCAGAACUGGAUGCUGUGGACACAGGCUCCUUUAAGACUCUGCGUUACGUGGUCCAAGGCAAGCCUUUUGUCUAGUCACUUAUUCAUCUAGAUAUGAUAUAAUAUAUGAUAAAAGGGCCCCAAUGCCCCCACACCAACUGCUACUCCAUUAAAGGGUAAAGGCUCAAGUGAAGUAAAUGCAAAUUUGUGGAUUUUUAUCAGCCAGCCAUGGGCCCAUGCAUAGCCAAAGGACAAAGGGUGGUUUCCUUUCUCUCUCACCUUGGCUUUUCGGUUUGCAGAUUUCAGAUUUUUUUUUGCUUUUGGGUAGGGUGUGGGUCCGUGGAUUCUCAUGAGUGACACAUGGCAGUGGAAGGGAUUUUGAUUAUUGAUUCAGACAUAAAUGCAGACAAAUCUUGGUUUCCAUGCUAACACGGUAUCCUCAGUUUCUACGCAAAAUUUGCAUCAAGGAUUUUUGUGUCGAUUAAUUAAUUUUGUUCAUUUUCCGAUCCCUUGGGAGUGUUGUCGUCCGUCCUGGUUGCUGUACAUGUCACAGGAUUAAUUCAGAACAUGCCUUGGGCCAUGUGGCCCAAGUUGCCGCCACAUAUGCCCGCUUUUCGAAAAUAAAAAAAUACAGUAAUUUUAAAAAGUAUUUAUUAAAGAAUGACAUGGGUGAAAUUAUUUUCGAAUUUAUGAUAUUUUUUAUAAUAAUAAUUAAAAGUUUCUUUUUUUGAAAAAAAACUACAAUUUUAAAAAUAUGUAACAUUUAAUAAAUAUUUUUUCAAACUUUAAUUUUUUAUUUUUUAUUUUCAAAAUCCCCACAUAUAAUAAAAUAAUUUUUAUUUUACACUCUAUUUGAUUCUUGAAAAUACUAAAAAAAGAAAGAAAAAAAUUAAGAAAAGUGAUUUUUUUACAUUUAAUUGUACUAUAAAAAAAAUCAUAAAAAACAAAUAUAACUAAAAUGAGAUAGAAAUUUAUGUUUUUUUUUUAUGAAAAAUUAAAAUAAAUAAAAUGAGUUUGAAAUAAUAUAUAAAAAAUAAUUUAUUGAUUUUAAAUUUUUAUUAUUAUUUAUUUUUUUUUUUUUCAUUUCAUUACAUUUUUCCCCAAAUUUUUUUAAAAUCGAACAUAGUCUUAAAGUCAAUUUGGCUAAGUUUACAAUAAUUUUUUUCAUCAAUAUAGCAUGUAAACAUCUACGGUCAUUAUAGGCUUCUCAUUUGAAAAGCUGAAAUCUUGAUUCUAACCAUGUUUAUAGAGGUCAAAUUGGCAACCUAGAAAUUAAGUUUUAAGUUUUCUAUAGAUUGAAAAGUUAAAAAGUUAAAAUCAUGACUUUUAAGAUUAUGUUUGGUUUCUAGAAAAUUUAUGAAAAAAAUUAUUCAAAAGAAAAUGGAAAGAAAAAAAAUAAUUAAUGAAAAAAAAUGUAAAUUCAAAAUUAAUAAAUUAUUUUUAUAUAUUACUUUAAAGAAUCAAACUCAUUUAACUUAUUUUAACUUUAAUAUAUAAAGAUUAAAUAAUUUUAAAAUAAAUAAAUUUAAAAAAAAAAUUAAUUAUAUUUAUUUUUUUAUAGGACAAUCAAAUAUAUAAAAAUUGUUUUUUUUUUAAUAUUUUUUUCUUUUGAUGAUACUCUUUUUGAACCAAAAGCCGAAUUCCAUUACUUAGUUGUAUUUAUAAAGUGAUGAACAUUUGAAUUGCAAAUGAGGGAAAACUACUAGUAAUGCUCUUUUUUGAAUUCUCCCCUAUAAAGUUUCAUACUAAAAUAUGUCACAAACAUGUAAUGAUUAAAAUAUCACGAUAUUUCGACAAUAUAUCAUUGAAAUAUCAAAUUUCAAUGGAGUUUAACACGAUAUAUAAAGAAAAAUAUGAAUACCUUGUUAUUUUAGUAAAUUAUCAGUAUUUUCGUCGAUUUUUCGCUAUAUGUUGGGACGAUCAACGCAAUCAAACCCCAAUCAAAAGGUUCUUCAUGCAUUACACUAAUUGGUGGGGUAAGUUUGCCCCAUAUUAUAUAAGUUGCAGCAAAUAUAUACAUAUGCUCAAAUUCAUCAUAUAAACAUAAUAUUAAAAAAAAAAUUAUGGAAAAAAUUAAUUAUGGCUAUUUUAUAAUUAAAUGAAAAUUUUUCAUUUAUUUGAAUACCAAAAAUAUAAAAAAUUAUGGUGAUAAUUUUCUUCAUAAUGUUUUUAAUAUCAUUAAUAUAUUAAUUAAAUAUUAAAAAUUAUAUAUAUAUAUCAUUUAUUUUAUAUCAUUUAAUACAAUUGAAUUAAAUGAAUUAUAAUUUUAAUAUUAAAUAUAUUUUUAAAUUAGAUUUAUUAUAAUCAAAUAUCACAAUAUUGUUAUCAAAUAAUAUUUGAUAUAAUUUAAUAAUAAAUGUAUAGUUAUGAAAUUCAUAUUUUUUUUAUCAACGCAUACAAUAUUAUUAUCAAAUAUGAUAAAUUAAUAUAUAUAUAUAUCAAUUUUUGAACAAAACAACUUAAAAAUAUCUAUUAUACUUCUAAUUUUAUUUUUAAGAGUUUUUUCUUACAUUUUUAUAAUUUUUCGAUCAAUUUUAGAUUUACCGAUAUUUUGUGUUAAAAUAUCUGUCGAUAUAUGUUUGAUAUAUCCAAUAUAUUAAUGGAAGUACCCAUAAUUACUGAUAUUUUCAUCUUUAUCGACACGAUGGUCUUUAAUUUCUCAAUAUUUGUAUGCCCUUUUGGACUUUCUUUCUUGUCCCCCAUAAGUUUUUCCUUGGCAAAAAUCACAAAUUCCCUGCAUAUGAAGUCACCAAGAGCAGAAAAAACUAGAGAUCAACAUGACAUUUUUUUGUAGAGGUUGGAAGGCAUCGAAUUAAGCAUAUUUAUUAUUCUUUUCUUUAUAUAAUUCAUAAUAUAUUCUUGUCCGGGACCCUGAUAAUUGCCUUCCAAGGUAGCUUGGAAACAUCAAUUUAGCUGCCUCCCCUUUUCAGUGCAAACUUGAAUACGACUUCACCUUCUUCAAAUGUUCCUCGGAUAAAACAAAAUCAUACGAUUUUCAGCCCAUCCCUUGCCUUUCUAUCCUUGGAAACCCAGUUUAUGCUGCUUUUAUUCAAUCUCUAGUGUCCAAUUUUCUUGACCUAUCCUCAUGUCGCAGGCUUUACAAAGUUUCGAUGCCACAAUGAAAAUCAUUUUUCUCUCAAGUGGUCGCUAUCAAUAUGUGGAAGCUGCCAAGCUGAAGGAAAAACAUAUAUAUGUAGACUGAAGAAGGGUAAUAGCAAGGAACCAGGAACCGAAUUUAUUGCCCGGCCACAAGGCCCAAAUGGGGGUAUUUUGUGUGUGGGCUCCAUUUGUCCGCCCAUGAGGCCCAAGUGGGGCAUCUUUCCUUGUUGAUUGGACGGCAUGGUCGUUGGAACCAAUUUAUUGGCCCAAUAUAUGAGCACAAGCACCACCGAGAGGGGCGGUGCAUGGGUAGAAUUUUAGGGGGGAAAAGAAAUUAAAAAAAUAUGAUGUUUUUUAGUUGUUUUUAUUUAUUUAUUUUAUUUUUUUAAAUAAUUAUAAAAAUACAAAGAAGAAGAAUUAAAAAUAAAGCAUUGUAUGUAAAAGUUAUUUUUAAAUAUAAAAAACAUGUUAAAAAUAUUUUAGAUUCUCACACAAGUAUUUUUAUUUUUUAACAAAAUAUCAAACAAUGAUUUUUAAAAAUUGUUUUCAAAAAAUAUUUUUUUUAAAUUAUUUUCGAAAAUAAUUAUCAAAUACGCUUAAGUUUUCUUUAUUUAUGAAAUAUGGUUUUAAAUAUGCAAAUACUCCAUUUUGGAAUGAAACAUGAGCUGAUAAAUUCUACUGAUUUAAGUUUAUAGCUUAUGGGAGGGAAAGUAAAAUAUUGGAUGGAAUUUAUGUUUUAUUGGGAUAUUGAAAAUAUGUAGGCUAAAAAAAAGUAUUAAUUUUUAUUUGAUUAAUAUUGAUAAAAUAAUCUCUAAAUCUAAAAAAAUAACCUUCAUAUUUUAAAUAGAAACUAGAGAUAUGAUUUUUUCUAACAAAGAUACGCCUUUCCAUUUUCUUAAACACAUCCCAUAUCAAACCACUAUUGGGAAAAAAUUACAAGAAGUAUUUAUAUCCAAUAGAAGUUAUAUUGAAUUAUUAUUUACAUGAGAAAUAUUUUUUAAGGUAAUUAUUAUUUUGUUCCUUAGCCCAAAUAUUUCUAUUUGUUAUGAGAUCAUAAUUCAAAUUAAUACUUGGUGAAAAUAAUUUUAUAGAAUUAAUGAACUAGCAUACUAAAAGACUUUGGAAUGGAAUUGGAGACCUAAACUUCUUGAAUAAUUUCUUUUGCUAAGCACACUUGAGUUUUUAGCCUUUAUUGCUUUUAUGUUGACCUAUCAAAUCAACUCUUACAAUGUUUAACAGAUCAUCUAAUUCUUAAUAACUUUUCUAACUUCUUAAGAUGCUUCAACUAAUAUUAGUUAGGAUACUUGAAUCUUCAAUUAUCUUCUUACUGUUUAUCAUUCCCCCAAGCUCAUAGGUCUUGGAACAAUGUCGAGCUUCAUUCUAAAACUGAAAAACUAAGAGUUUGGUGAAGAUAUUGAUAACUUGAUUAGAAGACAGAAUGUAGUGAAUGAUGAGAUCUUUGUCCAAGAUGUUAUCCUGAAUGAAGUGAAGGUUAAGCUCAAUAUGUUUCGAAUGAGCAUGAGAAAUUGAGUUGGUAACUAAAUGAGCUGCACUCUGAUUAUCACACCAAACUAGGAGAGAAGCAGAUUGAGAAAUACAAAGUUCUUUCAGAAUGGAUUGGACCAGAUGAUCUUAGCUGUAAUAGAGGCUAAGCCAUAGUAUUCAAAUUCGACGCUAUUUCGAGAGACGACUUGCUGUUUGAUAGAUGACCAAGAGAUUAAAUUUGGACCAAGGAAGAUACAAUACCUAUUGGUACUCUUGUGAUCAUCUAGGUAGGAGUCUCAAUCAGCAUUGAUAUAUCUUUGAAUAUCCAACGGGGGAGAUUAUUGUAUUUGUAAGCCAUGAAAUGAGGAGUAUUCUUUUCAUUGCAAACCAAUGAAUUGGUGGGUUGGACAUGAACUGGCAAGCCUUGUUAACAGGAAAGGUGAUAUUAGGUCGUGUGAUGGUUAUGUAUUAGAGAAUACCAAUAGUGUUGCAACACAAGGUUUUAUCCAUGAGUAUUUUGUCAUCAUGUUGAGAUAAGGUUUAGCCUUUAGGUGUGUAGGUAGGCUUGGAGUCUAGUAUUUUGGUGCAAGUCAUGAUGUGUUGGAUGUAUUUGUGUCAAUUGAGAUGUGAUGUAGUGUCAACAUGAAGAACCUCCAUACCAAGAAAGUAAUUCAGAUGUCCAAGAUCACCAAGUGCAAAAUAGGAAUUGAGAUAGGAUAUAAAUGAGAAAACUUGAGAGGAAUUGUUGUCGAUUACUAAUAUAUUAUCAACAUAAAUCAGGAGAAUCAAAGCAUCAUUAGGAAGAUCCAACCCAACCCUUUUCUCGUCAUUGAGAAUGCUACCUUAAACUUUCAAAAUAUUUAGGAUUAUAUGAUUGACUCCUAUCUUCAAAUCGAAGGACGGAAUGUCCCACGAAUGGUUGAAAAAUGGAUUUAAUGAAAUCAUAUGAUUAAUGGAAUAUUCAAAUUAAAUUUUGAUGGUUCAAGGAUGGAGAAUAAAAGUACUUUAGGAUGGGUUAUUAGAGACUCUAAUGGAACUAUAAAAAUAGUUGCAAGUAGGCAUAUAGGUAAUCCUUCAAUAGUUAUUGUAGAAUGUAUGACUUUAAGAGAUGACAUAUUAGUUGCCAAAAACAAUGAAUUUUUAAACCGAGAUUGAAGAUAACUAAAAAAUAGUUAUAGAUUAUUAUAAUAAAAAGAGUAAUAUUCCUAAUUCUAUUAUAUUAUUAAUUGAGGAUAUUUGAAUAUUAUCUUAAGACCUAAAUAUUUACCAUUAUCAUCAUAUUUAUAGGGAAGCAAAUAGAAUAACAAAUUGUUUAACUAAGAAGGCAUUUGUAAUUUAAAAUCAAUCAUUCGGUGGUUAAAUUUUCCUAAAGAUGUUACAAAGUUUAGUUUUGAAGAUUAUUGUGACUCGUCUUUCAAUCAAAUUUGUAGGUAUUUUGCUUUGUAGUCUCAUUAUUAUUAUUAUUAUUAUUAUUUUAAAAAACAUGAUGAAUAGAUAUGGAAUUGUUAGCCCUAGAUGAUUGGAAACCCCACUCGAGAAAGGUGUUGCUAAGUUUAGUAAACCAUGCAUGUGGGACCUGUUUAAGGCCAUAUAAUGUUUGUUUAGUUUGCAAACAUGAGAAGAAAAUUGUUUAUUAACAAACCUAAGAGGUUGGCUCAUAAACACUUGUUCUUUAAGAUCACCAUUGAGGAAUGCAUUCUAAACAAAGAGUUGACGAAUCAACUAUUGAAAAAAAAAAAGCAAUGGCAAGCACUAUGCGAAUUGUGGAAGCUUUUACAAUUCUUUUGUGAUCAAAUGAGCUUUGUAUCAAUCAAUAGUCCCAUCAAGUUUGUAUUUAAGUUUGUAAACCCAUUUAUAGUCAAUGAUAUUACUAUUAAGAGUAGGGACAAGGUGCAAUGUAUUGUUGUUCAUGAGGGCAGUGAAUUCUUUUUCCAUGGCAAGUAGCCAAUUCAAAUCUUUUGCUGCUUGUAUAAAGGUAUGGGGUUUAACAGCUUUGUGAACCAUGGGCACCUUCUUCUUGAAAAUGUCGUCCUUUGCACGUGUGACCAUUGGAUGGUGAUUUAUGGGUUAAGGGUAAGAACUAGUAAUGUUAGUCGUGGAAUCAACAAAAAGAAUUGGAAUAAUAGUUGAUAUUGAAGAUGUUGGUGAAGGUGAAGGUGAAGGACCAUUAGAUGAGUAGGUUGUAGUGUGUGGUAAAGCCAAUGAACUAUGAUGAUAGACACGAGUACAAGCAGGAUCUUAGUUAGUAGAAACGAUGAACCACAGAGUGAGGAAAUGAGGAGAUGUGGGUAAAAAUGUUGGAGUAUAAGAAGACUGAAUGGAGGAAGGAGUCAACAAAGAGAUGGAAGAAACAGUGGAGUGUUGGAAUGGAAAUACUGUUUCAUCAAAGAUAACAUGUUGAGUUAUAUACAUUUGGUUUGAAAUGUGGUCAAAGCACACAUACCCUUUGUGAAUUGGGCUAUAGAUAAGGAAGAUACAUCGGAUUGAACGAUAUGAGAGUUUGUGUUUAUUGUAGGGGCAUCCAAAAAUUUUGAAGUGAUGAUAAUUCAGGGUUUUUCCAAAGAGAACUUGGAAUAGGGACUAAAGUUAAAGUACCUUAGUGGGCAUACGAUUGAUAAGCAAUAUGGUUGUAUGGAACACAUAGUCAAAACUUUAAAGGUAAAGAGGCAUUAGCUAAAAGUGUCAGACCAAUUUCCAUUUUUCUUUUCUUUUCUUUUCUUUCUUUUUUCUUUACCAUUUUUUAUUAGACUAAAAAAGUAAGAAUAAUUAGUUAUGUGUGAUUGAAAUUGAUCCUUAAGCUAAACCAUAUUACCUAAUAAAUAGAUAAAGCAUAUAAUGUUUUACUUUGCACUAAAAAACAAGUGUAUCCAAACAAAUAAUUUAAUUUGUGAUAUAAGACUUGGCCUUUAAUUUGUGACUACAAUUUUAGAAAUUUAAACUUAAUUCUUUGUCAACCUUUUCCUACAAAGCAAGUGGUUUUACCUUUAGAAAUGUCCCAUUUGGGUCCCAACAUCGAAGACAAUAUUAAUUAAUAUUGAAAACCGAAGAGAUGGUUGGCUAUAUAAACUAUCUCACAAUGCUUGACAUUCAAUUUUAGCAACUUUACAAUCAAUCAAAAUAUGAUAUCCUAUAUCGCAUAAAGAAAUAAGUUUUUUGAUAUUAUAUAUAUGAACUUUUCUUAAUCAUGUAAACGUGUUUUAAAGUUGUAAGAUUUCAUUAAACCUAGAGCAUAUAAUGUCUGCAUGAGAGGGAAUAAGUCAUUACACAAAAAAUCAAAAAAUUAAUUAACAUAUAUGAUUAUAUAUAUAAUCCUAGUUAAAAGCUUCUUUCUAGCCCACAACAGUUUUCCAAUGGCAAAGGAAUCAUGUCCUCAAAAGGCUAGAUAAACCUCCCUUUAGUGUUAAGAAAAUUUAUUUAGUGGUUAUUUAAAAUGUCAUAUUUGACCAAUAUUGAUGACAAUGACCACGAUGACGAUGAUGAUGGAUAUUUUAACCCAAAGUGGAGAAAAUAAAGAGAUAAUUUGUUAUAAUAAUUAUUUGCUAUUUGAAAAGAAUGAAAAGCCCAUUGGUUUUGGGCCUUGGUGCAAACAAGGUUGUCUUCCAAUCGGCUUGUUUCAAUUUAAGUUUAAAAUUAACUCCAUUGAGGCCAUAACAUUUAAUUAGUGGAGUGGUCCAAGCUAUUUAGGCCCAACAAUAGGCUCGUUAGUGAGCCGUUGGGCCAAGUCCAGUGGAAGGCUCAUAGGUAGCUUAUGGGAGGACGUGAGCAUGAAUGGCUUGGGCCACGCUGGGAUCAUGUGCUAUUUGAAUUGGGUCAGGCCCGAUAUGGAGUUUGAUGCCAUAAGCCAGCCUUGUACUAGUAUCCGACAACAAAGUUAAUUCUGGUAGCCCACUAAGGGCUGACUCAAGGCCCACAAUUACAUUUAUGCCGAACCACAUAAGCCCAAGUCCGCUUAACAUGAAAUACGCGUAAUAAAAAUAGGAAUUAAUUACGUAUUAAAAAUAUUAAACUUUAUUUGUUUUUGAAUAAAAUAUUAUUAAUAUUAUUAUUAUUUUUUAACAAAAAGAUUUAAUUAUAUUUUUUUAUGAAGAUGUUGAUAUCCAUAGUUUUAUAAUACAUCGUAAAAUAGUUUUAUUAUUAUAAAAAAUAAUCUAUGAUUUUUUUUUAUAAUAUUAGUAUUCAUAUUUUAUUAAAAACAAUUUAUUUUUUACUUUAUUUAUAAAUAAAAAAUAUUUUUAUUUUCAAUAAGACUUGAAUUAAAUUUAAUAUAUUAUAUAAAUUUAACUUACAAUUUUAUUUUUAUUUUUUUUGUAAAAUCAAAAUAAAAAAUAUUUUUAAAAACAAGUCAUUCAAGCCGGUUUUUUUAAAUGUUAAAAAAAAAAAUUAAUUUUAAAAUACAAGGAUAAGAAAACAUGGUGAAAUGGGUCAUUCUUGUUUUUCAUGAAAUAGUGGGUGGCUGUUUUGAUGGGAGUGCCAAGGUGUCGACAUAGAAGCAUAGAACAUUGUAAGGCAGUUGAUGGAUCCAGAAAUGAUAGAAAUAAUGGUAGUCAUUUAAACUUGACUUACUUUCCAUGAAAAACAGGUAUUCAAGGCUUGUUGGAGAAUGUUUUCAAAAUAUUUAUUUAAUAAUGUUUUUCUUAAAUAAAAAUUUGUUAAAAACAUAAAAUAUUCUCUAACCUAUUUUCUAUAUUUUCAAAUAUUUUUAAAAACAACUUUUAUUUGUAUUACUUCAUUUUUACUCAUUUUUUAUAUUUAAAUAAUUAUUUUUUAAAAUAUUCCUCAAACAAAUCAUCGAAAAUAGUUGAAAACAAUUAUUAUAUAUUUUACACCUUAUCAAUUUCCACCGACAAGCCUUUAAGAAAUAUUAGAAAAAAGGGUUUGAAUGAUUCUUUAAGUGAUGUUAGUUUGUUGUCUCCAAUGAAAAAAUGGUUGCCAUUGCUUUCAUAAGACCUAAGAGUAGGAGGGUGUGAACACAAACAUUAAAACAUUGUGGGGUAGUUGAUGUAAAGGCUUAUCUAAUUCCUUAAGUGGUCCUUAUUAUUAAUCUUCCAAGGAAAAACAUGCACCAAGAAGUUUUCCAUGAAAUUUACAAAAAAAAAAAGAAAGAAAUAACAUCUAUGAUGUACCAAUUAGAAGGACUAAACAAUGAAAAGUGAGUUUUUGCAAAAUAAUUAUUGGGGUGAACCAUUUGGAAAAGUGUCAAGUAGAAACAUUAAAUAUUAUAAGGUAGUUAAUGUCUGUAACCAGGAUAUGAUUGAAAAGCUAGACUAAUUACUUUGGUAAUUUCAUAUUUGCCAUGGAGAAACAGGCCUAAAAAAAAAUUUCAAAAAAAAAAUUAUGGCCUAGAUAAUGUCCAAAAAUGCCAAUUAGAAAAACUAAACACUAGGAAUCUAUGACCAAUAACUUUUUGUCUUUUGUGAGAGAAUGGGUGCAACUAUUUUCAAAAAAAUUAUUGGGAAUUAAGAAUCGCUUAGGAAGGUGUCAGCAUUGAAAAACAUUAUAGGGUUGUUGAUGUAUCUAACAAAGAUUGAAGGGUAGAAUGCUUGACCAAUUCCUUUAAUGGUUUCUUUGUCAUGGAAAAAUAGGCUUAAAACCGGAUGUUAUUGGUUUCAAAAGAAUUAAUUCGAAUAACAUAAAAAUAUAUACCGAUGGUGACCAUCAAUGAAGAACUGAGAAAAAAGUUUCGAGCAUUUGUUUUAAAUGAUGGAAAAACAUGUCUUCGACGAUCGAAAAGCUAGCUUGAAAGUUGAUGUGUCUAACAAUAAUUGAAGGGUAGAAUGCUUGACCAACUCCUUUAAUGGUUUCUUUUUUCCAUGGAAAAACAAGCACUAAAAUAUGGAUGUUAUUGUUUUCAAAAGAAUUGAUUUUCAUGACAUAAAAAUAUAUAUCAAUGGUGACGGUCAAUGUAGAAAUGAGAAAAAAGUUAAGAGCAUUUGUCUAAUUAAAUGAUGGAGAAACGCGUCUUCUACAACCAAAAAGCUAAACAUGGAAAUUGAUGUAUCUAACAAGGAUUGAAGAGUAGAAUACAUGACUAAUUCCUUUAAUGGUUUCUUUUUGCAAUGAAAACAAGCAUUGAAAAAUGGAUUUUAUUGUUUUCAAAAGAAUUAAUUGGAAUGAAAUAAAAAUAUAUACCGAUGGUGAUGGUCAAUGUAGAAAUGAGAAAAAAGUUAAAAGCAUUUGUCUUAAGUAAUGGAGAAACACAUUCUCAACAACCCAAAAGCUAGCUUGGAAGUUGAUGUAUCUAACAAGGAUUGAAGGGUAGAAUGCUUGACCAAUUCCUUUAAUGGUUUCUUUUAGCCAUAGAAAAACAAGCACUAAAAAAUGGAUGUUAUUGUUUUAAAAAGAAUUAAUUGGGCUUGUGAUACUUCGACGACCAAAAAACUAGACUUGGAAGUUGAUGUAUCUAACAAGGAUUGAACGGUGGAAUGCUUGAUCAAUUCCUUUAAUGGUUUCUUUUUGCCAUGGAAAAAUAGACACUGAAAAUUGGAUAUUAUUGGUUUCAAAAAAUUAAUUGGAAUAAUAUAAAAAUAUAUACCGACGGAUGACCAUUAAUGAAGAAAUGAGAAAAAAGUUUAGAGCAUUUAUUUUGAAUAAUGGAAAAACACGUCUUCGACGACUGAAAAACUAUCUUAGAAGUUGAUGUAUCUAACAAGGAUUGACGGGUAUAAUGCUUGACCAAUUCCUUUAAUGGUUUUUUUUUGUCCCAGAAAAACAAACACUAAAAUAUGGAUGUUAUUGUUUUCAAAAGAAUUGAUUUUAAGGAAUAAAAUAUAUAUCAAUGGUGACUGUCAAUGUAGAAAUGAGAAAAAAGUUAAGAGAAUUUGUUUAAUUAAAUGAUGGAGAAACGCGUCUUCGAUAACCAAAAAGCUAGACUUGGAAAUUGAUGUAUCUAACAAAUAUUGAAGGGUAGAAUGCUUGACCAAUUCCUUUAAUGGUUUCUUUUAGCCAUAGAAAAACAAGCACUAAAAAAUGGAUAUUAUUGUUUUCAAAAGAAUUAAUUGGGCUUGUGACAUAAAAAUAUAUACCAAAGGUGACGGUCAAUGUAGAAAUGAGAAAAAAGUUGAGAGCAUUUGUCUUAAAUGAUGGAGAAAUGCAUCUUCGACGACCAAAAAGCUAGACUUGAAAGUUGAUGUAUCUAACAAGGAUUGAACGGUGGAAUGCUUGAUCAAUUCCUAUAAUGGUUUCUUUUUGCCAUGGAAAAAUAGACACUGAAAAUUGGAUAUUAUUGGUUUCAAAAAAUUAAUUGGAAUAAUAUAAAAAUAUAUACCGACGAUGACCAUUAAUGAAGAAAUGAGAAAAAAGUUUAGAGCAUUUAUUUUGAAUGAUGGAAAAACACGUCUUCGACGACUGAAAAACUAUCUUAGAAGUUGAUGUAUCUAACAAGGAUUGAAGGGUACAAUGCUUGACCAACUCCUUUAAUGGUUUCUUUUUGUCCCAGAAAAACAAGCACUAAAAUAUGGAUGUUAUUGUUUUCAAAAGAAUUGAUUUUAAGGACAAAAAUAUAUAUCAAUGGUGACUGUCAAUGUAGAAAUGAGAAAAAAGUUAAGAGAAUUUGUCUAAUUAAAUGAUGGAGAAACACNNNNNNNNNNNNNNNNNNNNNNNNNNNNNNNNNNNNNNNNNNNNNNNNNNNNNNNNNNNNNNNNNNNNNNNNNNNNNNNNNNNNNNNNNNNNNNNNNNNNUCCUUUAAUGGUUUCUUUUUGUCCCAGAAAAACAAGCACUAAAAUAUGGAUGUUAUUGUUUUCAAAAGAAUUGAUUUUAAGGACAAAAAUAUAUAUCAAUGGUGACUGUCAAUGUAGAAAUGAGAAAAAAGUUAAGAGAAUUUGUCUAAUUAAAUGAUGGAGAAACACGUCUUCGAUAACCAAAAAGCUAGACUUGGAAAUUGAUGUAUCUAACAAAUAUUGAAGGGUAGAAUGCUUGACCAAUUCCUUUAAUGGUUUCUUUUAGCCAUAGAAAAACAAGCACUAAAAAAUGGAUGUUAUUGUUUUCAAAAGAAUUAAUUGGGCUUGUGACAUAAAAAUAUAUACCAAAGGUGACGGUCAAUGUAGAAAUGAGAAAAAAGUUGAGAGCAUUUGUCUUAAAUGAUGGAGAAAUGCAUCUUCGACGACCAAAAAGCUAGACUUGGAAGUUGAUGUAUCUAACAAGGAUUGAAGGAUAGAAUGCUUGACCAAUUCCUUUAAUGGUUUCUUUUUGCCAUGGAAAAAUAGACACUGAAAAUUGGAUGUUAUUGGUUUCAAAAUAAUUACUUGGAAUAAUAUAAAAAUAUAUAUCGACGAUGACCAUUAACGAAGAAAUGAGAAAAAAGUUUAGAGCAUUUAUUUUGAAUGAUGGAAAAACACGUCUUCGACGACUGAAAAAACUAUCUUAGAAGUUGAUGUAUCUAACAAGGAUUGAAGGGUACAAUGCUUGACCAACUCCUUUAAUGGUUUCUUUUUGUCCCAGAAAAACAAGCACUAAAAUAUGGAUGUUAUUGUUUUCAAAAGAAUUGAUUUUAAGGACAAAAAUAUAUAUCGAUGGUGACUGUCAAUGUAGAAAUGAGAAAAAAGUUAAGAGAAUUUGUUUAAUUAAAUGAUGGAGAAACGCGUCUUCGAUAACCAAAAAGCUAGACUUGGAAAUUGAUGUAUCUAACAAAUAUUGAAGGGUAGAAUGCUUGACCAAUUCCUUUAAUGGUUUCUUUUAGCCAUAGAAAAACAAGCACUAAAAAAUGGAUGUUAUGGUUUUCAAAAGAAUUAAUUGGGCUUGUGACAUAAAAAUAUAUACCAAAGGUGACGGUCAAUGUAGAAAUGAGAAAAAAGUUGAGAGCAUUUGUCUUAAAUGAUGGAGAAAUGCAUCUUCGACGACCAAAAAGCUAGACUUGGAAGUUGAUGUAUCUAACAAGGAUUGAACGGUGGAAUGCUUGAUCAAUUCCUUUAAUGGUUUCUUUUUGCCAUGGAAAAAUAGACACUGAAAAUUGGAUAUUAUUGGUUUCAAAAAAUUAAUUGGAAUAAUAUAAAAAUAUAUACCGACGAUGACCAUUAAUGAAGAAAUGAGAAAAAAGUUUAGAGCAUUUAUUUUGAAUGAUGGAAAAACACGUCUUCGACGACUGAAAAACUAUCUUAGAAGUUGAUGUAUCUAACAAGGAUUGAAGGGUACAAUGCUUGACCAACUCCUUUAAUGGUUUCUUUUUGUCCCAGAAAAACAAGCACUAAAAUAUGGAUGUUAUUGUUUUCAAAAGAAUUGAUUUUAAGGACAAAAAUAUAUAUCAAUGGUGACUGUCAAUGUAGAAAUGAGAAAAAAGUUAAGAGAAUUUGUCUAAUUAAAUGAUGGAGAAACGCGUCUUCGAUAACCAAAAAGCUAGACUUGGAAAUUGAUGUAUCUAACAAAUAUUGAAGGGUAGAAUGCUUGACCAAUUCCUUUAAUGGUUUCUUUUAGCCAUAGAAAAACAAGCACUAAAAAAUGGAUGUUAUUGUUUUCAAAAGAAAUAAUUGGGCUUGUGACAUAAAAAUAUAUACCAAAGCUGACGGUCAAUGUAGAAAUGAGAAAAAAGUUGAGAGCGUUUGUCAUAAAUGAUGGAGAAAUGCAUCUUCGACGACCAAAAAGCUAGACUUGGAAGUUGAUGUAUCUAACAAGGAUUGAAGGAUAGAAUGCUUGACCAAUUCCUUUAAUGGUUUCUUUUUACCAUGGAAAAAUAGACACUAAAAAUUGGAUGUUAUUGGUUUCAAAAUAAUUAUUUGGAAUAAUAUAAAAAUAUAUAUCGACGGUGACCAUUAAUGAAGAAAUGAGAAAAAAGUUUAGAGCAUUUAUUUUGAAUGAUGGAAAAACACGUCUUCGACGACUGAAAAAACUAUCUUAAAAGUUGAUGUAUCUAACAAGGAUUGAAGGGUAGAAUGCCUUACCAACUCCUUUAAUGGUUUCUUUUUGUCCCAAAACAAGCACUAAAAUAUGGAUGUUAUUGUUUUCAAAAGAAUUGAUUUUAAGGACAAAAAUAUAUAUCAAUGGUGACUGUCAAUGUAGAAAUGAGAAAAAAGUUAAGAGAAUUUGUCUAAUUAAAUGAUGGAGAAACGCGUCUUCGAUAACCAAAAAGCUAGACUUGGAAAUUGAUGUAUCUAACAAAUAUUGAAGGGUAGAAUGCUUGACCAAUUCCUUUAUUGGUUUCUUUUAGCCAGAGAAAAACAAGCACUAAAAAAUGUAUGUUACUGUUUUCAAAAGAAUUAAUUGGUCUUGUGACAUCAAAAUAUAUACCAAUGGUGACGGUCAAUGUAGAAAUGAGAAAAAAGUUGAGAGCAUUUGUCUUAAAUGAUGGAGAAAUGCAUCUUCGAUGACCAAAAAGUUAGCUUGGAAGUUGAUAUAUCUAACAAGGAUUGAAGGGUAGAAUGCUUGACAAAUUCCUUUAAUGUUUUCUUUUUUCUUUUUUGCCAUGGAAAAAUAAACACCGAAAAUUGGAUAUUAUUGGUUUCAAAAGAAUUAAUUGGAAUAAUAUAAAAAUAUAUACCAUCGAUCACCAUUAAUGAAGAAAUGAGAAAAAAGUAUAGAGUAUUUGUUUUAAAUGAUGGAAAAACGCGUCUUCGACGAAUUAAAAGUGGUCUUGGAAGUUGAUGUAUCUAACAAGGAUUGAAGGGUAGAAUGCUUGACCAACUCCUUUAGUGGUUUCUUUUUGCCUUAGAAAAACAAGCAUUGAAAUAUGGAUGUUAUUAUUUUCAAAAGAAUUGAUUUUAAUGACAUAAAAAUAUAUAUCAGUAAUGACGGUCAAUGUAGAAAUGAGAAAAAAGUUAAUAGUAUUUGUCUAAUAAAAUGAUGGAGAAACACAUUUUUGACGACCAAAAAGCUGGACUUGGAAGUUGACGUAUCUAACAAGGAGUGAAAGGUAGAAUGCUUGACCAAUUCCUUUAAUGGUUUCUUUUUGCCAUGGAAAAAUAAGUACCAAAAAAUAUAUUUAAUUGGAUUGUUAUUUUAGAAUGGGAAUAAAUAAAAAAAAAUCAUUGUUAUGGAAGUUAAAUCUUACUCUUGUGAGAAUUCUGAUUCCUAAAUUCUAUAUCAUAAUAUGAUUCACUUGUUUUCCUAUCUUAUUUACAUUCCUAUUCCUAGCUACCAAAAGCACACUUUCUUUUACAUGAUAAUAACCCCCUCAGGAGUAGUUUAUUAGCUUCACAACCCACUUUUGAAGAACAAAAAUCCUCAAAACUGCUUAUAUUUUGAAUAAUAUUUGGGAAAGCUUCUUAAACCUAAUUUGUUGCCAAAUAUCACUGAGUUUAUUGCCAUUAAACACAAAGAUUACGUUGAUGAACUAUUACAACAUGAUACUAAGUAAUUUACAUGCUCAUAAUACACUAAAAUAGAAACAUAACCAAUUAUCUUUUUACUCUAUUUUUGAGAUGACUGUCAACUCUUGUUGAUGCAUGUUUGGACUUGUUCUUGUUGGGCCCAUGGAAGUAAAUGGGUUUGGAGGCAUACUUAAAUUGUUUCCUUCUCCUUCUAACAUCUGAAUAAUAAAUUUCAUGGAAGGACGGUUCGUUGGGCACCAUUGAAUGCACCAAAGUCCCACAAUUAAUAGUUUCUUUGCUAUUUCACCAUCAUUUUCUUCCUCAAUCGGAAUGUGCAACUCUUCCCUUUUAUCCAGACGAUUAUAAACCCAUUCUGGAAAAUAUACUUGGCUAGUGUUCUUUACUGUAGUGUCUAUAUUCUUCCUUCCUCCAACCAUUUCAAUCAAUAACAUUCCAAAACUAUAAACAUCUUACUUGUAGGAAACAUUGCCAAAAUUCCUAGAUAUCAUUUCCGGUGCAAUAUAACCCAUGGUCCCCCUAAUUACACUCAUAGAAACUGCACUUUGCUCCUUAGAACACAAUUUGGCUAGACCAAAAUCAGAUAUCUUUGGAUUAAAAUUAUGAUCUAGCAAAAUAUUGUGAGGUUUGAUGUCGAAAUGGAGGAUUCUUUGAUCACAUCCUUGAUGAAGAUACUCAAUUCCUUUGGCUAUGCCUAUAGCAAUAUCUUGAAGCUUUUCCCAACCAAGUGAAUGGUUUGAAAAUAUGAAUUUUUCUAGCGACUCAUUUGAUAAAAACUCAUAGAUAAGAGCUCUUCGAUACCCAUCAGAACAGAAGCCAAUCAAGUGAACAACAUUGAUAUGGUGGAUUCUACCUAUUGUUCCCACUUCAUUAAUGAACUCUUCCCCAUUUCCAUUAGAAUAAUUCAAGAUCUUCACGGCAACAAGAAUUUCAUUAGAAAGCUUUCCUUUAUAGACAGUUCCAUAACCUCCUUCACCUAAUUUUUCCUUGAACCCAUCUGUAAUCCUCUUAAUAUCAUUGUAAGAGUAUCUUGAGGGCUUGAGGGCUCUGUAAUCUUCCAAGAACUUUAUAACCUUUAUUUUGUGCUGUCUUUUCAAUUCAUUUGAGCUAUAAACUCGGUAGAGUGCAAAGACAAGUGUCACAAGAAAAAGGGAACCAAGGAUUUCACCUGCAUAUGGAAAAAAAAAAUAAUAAAAAUGGUCAAGAUCGAUUUUCCUUUUAGUGAUUGAAGGAAAAGCAACCAAGUUACUGCAAAUUACCUAUAACAAUUAACUUUUUUUUUGUUGCACCUGUAAAAGGAAAUAAAAUUAUUAGUUUGUCAGGCUGAUUAAAUAAACAAAAAUCACUGACAUUGUAUAUGUAUACUGCAUCUUGAUUUUCAGCCUUGUCUCUAAUUUGUGACCCUUAUGCCUUUCUAGUUUCAUUUUUGAGGUCAAUUAAUUUUAGUUGUGCCAGGGUCUUUGAUAAAGAACUUUCCCUAGGCUUGAAGUACUAAAAUUGCCACCAGAUCAUUAAUCCCCAUUUUGUCACAUGUAUAGUUGUCUUGGGUGGACAGUCUUCAUCAACUGAUCACAUUGGUUCAAUCUAUUUUGUGGCAGAAAAAUAUAAAAGCUAAACGCUAUAUUAAUAUACAUCCUAGCCAACAAUUUGCAGCAAUUACUCAUAUAGGAGGAAGUUGUUCUUCUUGGUUAAAAGGAAAAAUGAAUCCAAAUUCACACAUUGCAGCCAUUUUUAAUGACGAACAAUCAAAUUUUAAGUAAAUACUUAGAAAAGAAUAAUGUGACAAUGCAGUUUAAUAGUGAUCAUCAUUCCAUGACUCUGCAUCAAUUUCCUAACAAAUUUGUUUUCACUUUCUUUACAAUUAUAUUGAAGUGUCUUCACAUACAAACUCAUGAUAUCUUGGGGUAUUAUAUCAAAUAUGAUAUAUUAUGUUACACUUCUAUUUAAUUUGUGAAAAGACUAAAAGAUAAAAUGAAAAAUAUAUUUAUGAUUGAAAUAUGUAAAAUUUAUAAAUAAAAAUAUUAUAUCAUAUUAUAUUAUUAAAUUUAGAAGAUAGAUUUUUAUAUAUUAUAUUAAGUAAUAUAUAUGUUUGAAUUAUUUUAUGAUAUAUUUUUUUUAGUUCUUUCUUUAAUUAAAAAUUAAAUUUUUUAAAUCAAAAUUACUUGUGUUAUAAAAUGAAUAAUAUAGAAAAUUGAUAAGAAACAUAAAAUACUAAUUUAAUAGAUAUGUACAUGGCAUUCCUCAAUUUGAGAUUAUUAUAGUCGUGGAUAGGGAAUUAAGGAAUAUAAAAAGAGUUGAAAUAAUAAAUCUUAUUACUUAUCCUAUACAACCAUGGAAUAUGAUAUAUUAUUCAAUGUCUUAUCAUGUGUUAUACUAUAUUUGAACAAUCAAACUUAGAGUCCGUUUGAUAAUGUUUUUAAAAAUCAUUUCUAGUCUACAAAGUAUUUUUGAAAAAAAUUCACACAUUUGGUAAAAUUUGAAAAACAUAAAAAAAAAUCAUAUUUAAUGUUUUUUGUUAAGUGAUUAUCUUUAAAAUACUGUUAGAAAAAACACUAUAUUGAAAGCAUUUUGAAGAAAAACAUCACCAAUUGCACUUUUAGGAAAUAUUUGAUUUUUUAAACUUAAUUCUAAAUAAAACAUAAGAUUAAAUAGUAUUUAAUCGUGUUAAAUUAUUAAGUUGUUUGUUUUUUUUAAUAUUUUAUUUCUAUUAAGUUUUAAAUAGUAAAAAAAAAUUAGUUAUUAUGAUUUAAUUUUAGUAUUUAGAAGAAGAUUUUAGUUCUUUUUAUUCAAUCAAAUUUUUUUUAAAAUAAGUAAUAAGUGAACAAAAAGAUAAAAACAAAUGAUGUAAGUCUCAAGUUAUAUUCAGGUUAAAAAAACAAACACCACCUUUAACAAAACUACUUUUGAUUUGAGAUAGUAUAUCAACAGUUAAUUUCCAGUGGGGCUGCAUGUCUUACCUUCUGCUUCGCAGUGUGGCAACUUGGUCCAUUUCAGCUGAGUAGCAUUUACCUGUGACCUAAUAACGAAAUAAGGAGCUGCUGCGACGUUGUACAUCUUGCUGCAAGAUGGUAGGUACGCGUCACUGGGGUUUCCCAAUGAAGAAGCAGCAUAAACUUGGAAGCCAGGCCCUCCAAGGCAAGGGAUGGGUAACACAGAGGAUCCAUCAUAAUAUGUAGUACUGUUUCUUGAAGGGCAUUUGAAGAAGGUGAGGGGCUCUGAGUAAUCAUCCAAGAACUGGAAGGGAGAGGAAGCUAAAUGGAGAUUACGAAACUGCCUUGGGAAGCAAUUAUCAGGGUCCUGAACAAGGAUUUCCUUAGAUCUGUAAUUUAUUUCCUUCACCAAGAGGUUUACUGAGUCUGGCAGCUCUAGAAUCGUCUGAUUCCUCUGUGUGCAGGAGAGCUCAAACAAAGAGCAGCCACAGUGGUCUGGGUACUGGUGGCCUUUAAGCCGGAAUGGGAAAAGGAUGGGGGGGCCCUGGAGGCUGCAACUCUGUGACACCAUGCACUCAUCUUGGCUCACUCCAGUCUCUGCAAAACUACUAAUUAUUACAGUCAAGCAGCAACACAGAUAGAGGAAUACCAUUUUCAAGGAAAUGCUCAUCUGAUAGUCUCCUCUGCAGUACUGCAGGCUGCUGAUGAGCCCCUCAAUGGACAUUAGAUUUGGAAUUUUUGCAAAGGAGUGAGGAACGAGCUCUACUCUUUCUUUUGCAUCUUCUUAAUAAAUGGAGCGUUUUAUUUAUUUAUUUUAAUCUCUGACAAAAUUAUUCAAUACUUAGGUACUAGGUGUCAAAGUUUGUGAUCUUGCGGAUCGGAAAGAUUGUAUGACUACGGAAAGUAAUAAGGAAGGAAAGAAGAAAAAAUAAUAAGAAUUUUUUUUUAAGAAAAUCAAGUAUAAUUAAAAUUUGUUAAAAAUUUAUAUAUUUUAAAAUUGUUUAAUUUUAUAUAAAAUAAAUAAAUAAGUUAAAUGAGUUUGAAGCAGUUUACAGAAAUAAUUUAUUGAUUUUAAAUUUAUUUUUUAUUUUUUCUAUUUUUUCUCUUAAUUUUCUUUCUUGUUACACUUUUUUUUCCAGCAAACAAACUCUAAAUCUAGUGAAACUCAUAAUGUUAGACUCAUUAAAAAGAUAAGUAACUUUAUACCAAAAGAAUUAAAAAUAUUAUGGCGUUUUUAGUAAAAAUAUUACAAUAAUGUCUAGGAAGUGUCAAUUAAAAAUAUUAGGUGGGGUUUUUGGGGCAAUGUCUACCGGCAAGACUUUAAGAAAUAUUCAAAAAAUAGCUUGAGUGAUUCUUUAAUUCAGGAAUUUUUUUUUCAAUGAAAAAUGGUUGUUAUUGUUUUCAUAAGACUUAAAGAGUAGGAAGGUGUGAACAUAGAAAUGUCAAAACAAAACAUUGUGGGGUAGUUGAUGCAUCCAACAAGGAUAGAGAUAAGGGUAGAAAGGCUUGCCUAAUUCUUAGGUGGUUGUCAUUACUAAUUUUCCAUGGAAAAAGAUGCACCAAAAAUUUUUCCACAAAAUAUGCCAAAGAGGAAUAAUGUCUAUGGUGUAUCAAUUAGAAGGACCAAACAAUGAAAAAUGAGUUUUUGCAAAAGAAUUAUUGGGAAUUAAGGAUCUUCCAAGAAGGUGUCAGCAUUGAAACUUCAAACAUUGUGGGGUUGUUGAUGUGUCUAACAAGGAUUGAAAUGUAGAAUGUUAGACCAAUUCCUUUCAUGGUUUUUAUUUUUUAUUUUUUUUGCCAUAGAAAAAUAGGCACCGAAAAAUGGAUGUUAUUGAAAAAAAUGUUUGGAUGUCCAUGUUGGUUUAAAGCAUUUGUCUUAAAUGAUAGGAUAACGUUGUUGUCUUUGAUGACCGAAAAAACAACUUACAAGACAUAACUCAAGAUCUUUGGCUUGAGUUUUGGCAAUUGUGUAUUUUUCAUUAAAUAAAUAAAUUCCAAAUCAAUCAAACACUUGAUAUAUGCAAUCAACUAAUUUUUUAAAUACUUAAAACUCAGCAAAAUUGAUUCAAUUAUUACUAAGUCAUGAAACUAGAAAUUGAUCUAAUUAAUAUUAAAAAUUCACAUACCAAAUUUAUUAUGAAUGAGUUAGCUAGUUUCUUCUUUACACAACUUUACUAAGUAAAUAAACUCUAAAUCUAACAAAGCUUAAUGUUUUAGACUUGUUAAUGACUUUAAUAAUUUAAAAAUAAUAAUUUGGAACUCAAAAAUAAAUUCCACUACUACUAGAAAUAAUAUAUCAAAGUUGGUACAUAAUGAGAUAUGACUUUACUACUGCUCUUAUGCAUACAACUAUACUUUAAGUAAAUAUAUUCUAAAUCAAGUGAGCUUAAUGUUUUAAAUUAUUUAAUAUACAUUCUAGUUCUUAAGAUUAAUUUGGAUUUUAAAAUUGAGACACAAUUAAUUGUAAAGUGAAUUAAAACUAGUCUAAAAUACUCUAUACUAAAUAUUACAUAUAAUGAAAAACAUUACUUAGUUACAUAUUAAACAAAAUAUUAUUAAUUAUUAUUAUUUCUAAUUAUUAUCAUUUAUUUUUAACAAUAAAAUUCAAUUAUACUUUUACGAAGAUAUUGAAAUAGGUUAGCAUCUAUACUUAUCCCAAAAGAAAGAAAGCAUAGAGAUUCACAUGUAAGGAGGAGGACUACUUGAUUAGCUCCAAAGAGUAUCCAUAGCUCUAAACCUUUAUAGUUUUAUAACAUAUAGUAAAAUAGUAUUAUUUUUAUUAAAAAAAUUAAUUUAUGAAUUUUUUAAUAUUAGUGUUCGUAAUUUAAAAUAAAAAAAUUCUUGUUUUCCGUGAAAAAGUGGGUGGUUAUUUUUAGAGGAAUUUAUUGCAAGGGCAGAGCCAAGGUGUCAACAUAGAAGCAUUGAACUUUGGUAGGUUGAUGGCUCCAAAAAUGAUAGAAAUAAUGGUAACCAUUUAAGCUUAACUUAUUUUCCAUGGAAAAAUAGGUAUUGAACGUUGGAAAUGUUUUAACACACAAUUCUCUAAUGUCUUCUUGAAUAAAAGUUUAUUUAGAACUUGAAAUAUUCUCCACCUAUUUUCUAUGUUUUUGAAUAUUUUUUAAAAAUAACUUAAUUUUAUUAUGAUACCUUAUUUUCAGUCAUUCUCCACAUGUGAACAAUUAUUUUUUUAAAUAGUCCUCCAAAAAUAAAUGAAAAUGAUUAAAAAUAAUUAAUGUAUGUUUUCAUAAAACACAUUUGCCUUAUUUGGUAACUAUUUUUUAAAACAGUUUUAGGGAAAAGUUUUUGGAAACCGUUUUCAAAUGUUUUGUAGAAUAAAAGUUUGUUUGGGAAUCUGAAAUGUUUUUAAUAUUUUUAAAUAUAUUAUAAAAUAAUUUUUAUAUCUAAUCCUUUAUUUUUAAUCAUUCUACAUGUUUAUAUAAUUAUUUUCUAAAACAACCCUUAAAAAAUAAAUGAAAAUAACAUAAAAUAACUAAAAGUCGUUAUCCAAAAAUAUCCUAUUUUUUAUUCUUAAGAAUAAAAAACAUAAAAUGGUUUUUAAUUGCCAAAUGUGUUUUUUUUUGUUCUAAAAACAGAAAAUUGUUCUUGAAAACGGUUGUCAAAUAAGUCCCUUGUUUUGGUAACAAGUUUUCAAAGAAUUGUUUCCUUUCCAAAAGUUACCAAAAAUGGUUUUGAAUGUUGAAAAUAAGGCUUUGUUGAGUAACCAUUUUUGAAAACAAUUUUGAAAAAUAAUUUUUGAGAACAAUUAGAAAACAAUCUUUGAAAAUUAUUCUUUAAUGUUUUGUAGAACAAAUGUCAAUUUGGAACUUAUUUAUAAAUAUAUUUUAAAAAUAACUUUUAUAUGUAGUGCUUUAUUUUUAAUCAUUCUUCAUAUUUGUAUAAUUAUUUUUUUAAAUGUCCCUAAAAAAACAAGUGAAAACAGUUAAAAGAUGUUCUGUGAAAAUUCCUUAUUUUUUAUUUUUAAGGGUAAAAAAUUGUUUUUUUAAGGAUAAAAAAUUGUUUUAUGUUUUCUGAUUUCAAAAGUAUUUUUUUAUUUUUUUUAUGGAGAAAAAAAAAAUCUCUUGUGAAAAUAGUUACUAAAUAAGCCCUCAUUUUUUUUAACAUCAAGAAAAGCUUGGAAUAAUAUCAAAAAUUCAUGGGCUAGGGAUAAUAUAAAAAAAAAACUAAACAAUAGAAGAAAAGCUUGGAAUAACAUCAAGAAAAAUGCCAAUUAGAAAAACUAAAUAAUGGUAGAAAAGCUUGACUAAUUCCUUUGGCGGUCUCUUUUUUUUCAUGGAAAAAUAGGCACCAAAAUUUUUUCCACAAAAACGUUUGGCCUACAGAUGACAUCAAGAAAAAUGCCAACUAGAAAAACUAAACAAUAGUAGAAAAUGGACUAAUUCCUUUGGUAGUUUUAGGAAUGGCAAUUUCGCGGGUUUCCCGGGUCACCUGCCCCGCCCCGCCCCUAUUGGGACGGGUAUAGGAACAUGGCAGUCGGGGAUGGGCCGGGUUCAGGAUUUUUUUAAAAACCCGAAUCGGGUUCGGGGCGGGGUCGGGUGUAGUUAUAAUUUGACCCGCCCCGAAUAUGAAAUUACUACUUUACCCCCCACUUAUAAAUAUUAGUUUCCUCUCCUCAUUUUAGGUUUUCUUCUCUCAGUUCUCGUUUCUGUCAACGCUAGGGUUUUUCCUCCCACUCAAUGGAGAAAUCCAUCAGAUAAUCCAUUCGAAAAUCCAUUUCCUCUCGAUUCAUCCUUGUUUAUCCCAUAUUCACAAGAAAUCAAGAAUCACAACUAUUAUCUUCACGUAUCUACAAACCGGUAAGAUUUUUUGGUUGAAUGAUGCCUUGAUUUGGUGUUGUAUUCCGUUUCUAAUUCGAGAAAGAGAUACGAGAUUUAGGAUUUUUCCAUUUCCAGUUUCAGAUUAUUGAAGGAUUUUUUUUUUCUAUUAGUUUUCGGGUUGCUAUUUAGGGUUUUGAAUCCGUUUCUUGCGAAUCUUAAUAGGGGCUAAGCAGAUCUUAUCGUCAAAUGCUUCCACUCCCUUCAUAUUGAGAAACGGGUCUUAUCGUCAAAUUUUUCUAGGGUUAGAGUAGUGAGGCAAAGGAGACCUUUAGUAGGCUAGUUUGAAAGGAAUAUAUCAGUGAACAUUAGAAAUCUAGGGCACUGUGGCUCAAGGGCGAUGACCUAAAUAUGUAGCACUUUCAUCAUUUGGCUAAUGCUCAUUAGCAUCAAAAUCAAAAUGGUGGACUGAGGAUGAUGAGAUCACCGAUAAGGUCAUUUCUUUUAUCAGAAGAUCAUCAAUAAACUCAUUCAUCGGUCUUUACUUCCAGAAUCUCCACUCUGACACCAUAUGUUGGAGGUUGGGUGGUUCAGAGUUUGGCCAUAUUGAUUCCCUUGAGCAACUUCAACUUAAGAGGGACUUUACUGCAAGCCCUUAAAGGCCUAAGUAGUGAUGAGGCCCUGGACUCGAAUGGCAUAUUGGCUACAGAAUUGGAAAAUGGUUAAAGUGGUGUUGUUGGGCGCUCUUCAAUCUUUUCAUGAAAUCGUGGAGUUUGAGGGAAAUUUGAAUGUAAUUUUUGUAUUCUUCUUCCUAAUGGGGGAACAGAGGCCAUAAAAGGCAUUAGAAACCAAUGGUGUGUUGGGGAUAUUUACCAACCCUUACUAAGAUCUUUGCUUUAAGAAUGAGUGUUCAUAAGCUGGUGGGACUAUGGGAGUUGUGGAAUGCUUGGGGAAGAUAAAAAAAAUUUCAGUGUGGCAUUGAUUGCUUUGAUUUUAGAAAGAUAUUAGGGGUUAGUAGAUGGUGUAGAACUUCUUAUUGAGAAUGCUUAUGAUAACAUUAACAGGAAAUUUGGAAUUUUCUCUCUUAUGUUGUGUUCUGGAUGGCAUUUGGAUGGACUAAAAUUGCAUUGAAACAGUCAGGAAUAUGACUCAUUAUUUCAAUUCCUAUUUGUCGAGGUGUAGCAAAAUGAUGUGUAUAGCAGUCUUUUUGCGCCCUUCUUUUCUUUUUUUUUUUUUUUCUUUUUUUUGUUUUUUUGUUUUUGUUUUUGUGUGUGUGUUCUUGGUUGGAUGGGGGCACACAUCUCUGCUGGGUUGGCUUUUAUGCGACCAAGGGGUGAGGAUUACCUCACGUGUAUUAUAUGCUGAUGACAUCACAACCUUUUUUUUUUCGGUGUAGAGAUUGAGUAGCUGGGAUAGCUCAAACGUUUUGUCUUCCCUUUUUAGGCUGCUGCUGGGUUGAAGGUCAAAUUAGGAAGGAAAAAAUAAAUAAAUAAUAAAGAUGCUGGAAACUUCUAGAUAAAGGGAACUUCGGUGUAUAGUUUAUCUUGCAUUGUUUUGGAUGGUUUGGAGGGAGGGGAAUGUGAGAAUCUUUUUUUGGAUAAAUGGAGGACCUUAGAAUACAUUUGGUAUUUGAUAGAUUUCUAUUCACUCUUCUCUCUCUUCAAUUUUUGGGGGUACUCCAUUGAAUAUUUAACUUAAUUGGGAUAUGGUUUGUAGGUCAAAGAGGGUUGGUUGUAAGACCCUUUUAGUCUCAACUCUACCUUGUUUGGGUUUGAUUAAGUUAAAUUUCUCUAACUAGUGCUUCUUUUCCCUUUGAACAUCUACUAUGCAUUCCAUCAAUGAACCAAUUUCUAGUGCGUAUCACACUAAGAUACAAUCUAAUGACACUAAUAUUCAUGUGCUUUUUACUAGUAACUAUUACAAAUGAGUCAUUUGCCCUUGUUUAAUUUUUAUGAAACUGCCACUUUUGCUUCCAUGUUAAAUCCUAUUCAAUAUUUUUCAGUUGUAUGUGUUUUGUGCUAGUGGUCUCCAUAUUGUGCCAUUCAAUAUAGAAUUAUUCUUCCCUAAAAUUCUUUUGUCUUUAGAGAAUUUGAUUUGCAAAUUUUUUCCGUUAAUAGUUUUGAUAUUGGUUAAAUAUUCCUAAUUUCAAGGUUUUGUUUUGUUUUCUGGUUAUUACUUUUUAGAAUAUUCUUUGUUUGCUUUUGUUUGCUUUGUUUUCUGUUUUUUUUAUUUUCUUCUUAUUUUCUUCUCACUUGCUAUGGGUUGUCCAUAUAAACUGCAUGUGUCUUUCGGUUGCACUGUCCUCGAUGCUUUUCUAUUACAUUUAUUUUCCUAUUAAUGGAAACUAUGUUGACAUCUUGCAAUUCUUGGAGGUUAACCUAAAUACAAUCUUGCCUUUUAAACCUUUGCUUCAAGCCCUAUCCAAGCUUUAGGCUAUUAAUUUAGGUUUGAAUGUUUUACUUAUAGACUUUAUUUUAUAUUAAGAAAAAUGACAUCAGAAGAAGGGGAAAACUUUUCCAUGCCAAGUGCGGGUUCAACUCCAAUUACAGGCAGUACUUCAACUACUGAUGGAACCUUGGUAUCUAAAAGAAGAAAGUUGACUUCGGUUGUUUGGAAUGAUUUCGAUAAAAUCAUAGAAGAUGGACAAGAUUAUGCUAUUUGUAAGCAUUGUAAGGGAAAGCUUAAGGCCGAUAGCAAGAAUGGGACAAAACACUUACAUGUACACAUAGAUAGGUGCAUGAAACGAAGAAAUGUUGAUAUUAGGCAACAAUUAUUGGCAGUAGAGAGAAAAGGUCAUGGAAAAGUUCAAAUUGGUGGUUUUACCUUUGAUCAAGAAAUGUCAAGAGAGAAGCUUGCACGUGCAAUUAUAUUGCAUGAGUACCCACUUUCAAUCGUUGACCAUGUGGGGUUUAGAGAAUUUGCUACUAGUCUCCAACCCUUGUUUAAGAUGGUUUCCCGCAAUACGAUUAAGGGUGAUAUAAUGAAGAUUUAUGAGGUUGAGAAAGAUAAGAUGAUUAGCUACUUAGAGAAACUUCAAAGUAAAGUUGCUAUCACAACUGAUAUGUGGACAUCAAAUCAAAAGAAAGGCUACAUGGCUGUCACUGUACAUUACAUUGAUGAGUCUUGGUUACUACACCAUCAUAUUGUAAGGUUAGUUAUGUUUUUUUUUUAACUUUCAAAGUGUUUUUUUAUUUGAUCCUUUAAUGAUAUUGUUUGUGUUAAUGAUAUUUUUUAUUCUUAAUUUAGGUUUGUUUAUGUGCCUCCUCCACACACAAAAGAAGUUCUUUCAGAUGUAUUAAUGGAUUUCUUGUUGGAUUGGAAUAUAGAUAGAAAAGUUUCUAUAGUCACUGUGGAUAAUUGCUCAAGUAAUGACGGAAUGAUCAAUAUCUUGGUGGAGAAAUUAUGUUUGAGAGAUUCACUCUUAUUGAAUGGAAAAAUUUUCCACAUGCGAUGUGCGGCACAUGUGUUGAACUUAAUUGUUAAGGAAGGUUUGGAUGUCAUUGAAGUAGAAAUUAAAAAAAUUCGUGAGAGUGUUGCAUAUUGGUCAGCAACCCCAUUAAGAAUGGAAAAGUUUGAAGAUGCAGCUCGCCAAUUGCGUAUUCCAUGCAAUAAGAAGUUAAGUCUUGAUUGUAAGACACGAUGGAAUUCCACAUACUUGAUGUUAUCAAUUGCUAUAACAUAUAAAGAUGUGUUCCCACAUUUGAAGCAACGUGAAAAAUACUACAUGGUUGUGCCAUCAGAGGAAGAAUGGAAUAUGGCAAAGGAAAUAUGUGGAAGAUUGAAAUUGUUUUACAACAUAACAGAGUUGUUCUCAGGACCAAAUUAUCCCACUGCAAAUACUUUCUUCAUCAAAGUGUGCGAAAUCAAAGAGGCAUUGUAUGAUUGGUUGAUAUGCUCAAAUGAUGUUGUGAAAACAAUGACAUCAAGUAUGUUGCAAAAGUUUGACAAGUAUUGGAGUGGGUGUCAUAUUGUGAUGGCAAUAGCAGCUAUAUUUGACCCAAGAUACAAGAUAAAGAUUUUAGAGUUUUACUUUCCACUAAUGUAUGGGUCUGAAGCUUCAAAUGAGAUAGAAAAAAUCUGUGGAAUGUGUUAUGAGUUGCUUUCUGAGUAUCAAUCAAAGUCUAAUUUGGGGCAAAAAACUUCAUCCUAUGGUACUUCAUCAGGUUCAACUCUUUUGGAGUUAAACUAUGAUGAACAAGAUCCUCUUUCAAAGUUUGACUUAUUUGUUCAUAGUACCAUUGGAGAAAGUCAUACGAAGUCGGAGUUAGAUUAUUACUUAGAGGAGUCUAUUCUGCCAAGGAAUUCAAAUUUUGAUGUUUUAAGUUGGUGGAAGACAAAUGGUAUAAAGUAUCCGACUUUGCAGAUGAUUGUUCGUGAUAUCUAUGCUAUUCCGGUAUCUAUAGUUGCAUUUGAGUCAGUCUUUAGCACGGGUGGUAGGGUGGUAUCAAAACAUCACAGUAGGCUUCAUCCAGAUACUUUGGAGGCCUUAAUGUGUGCUCAAAGUUGGUUAUGGAAGGAAAAAGAAGGUAACCGAUUUACAUAAUUAUCAAUUUUAUGAAUUGUUUUUUAUUAAAAUAUUUAGUAAAGUUUUCUAAUAUUUUUUUUGGUGUUUUUUUUUACUAGGUGAUUCAUCAAUUCAUGACUCACAGCCCCAACUCACAAUGAUGGAUGAAAAUGAUGAUUUACUUGUGCUUUAGAUUUUUUACUUAAGAUGAUGUUAGAGACAUUUUUCUUUCUUUUUUGCUAACAAUUUCUUUGUAAUGUCUUUUUUUUUUUUUUUUUCAAUGUUGUUAAGCUUAUGGAUAUAUUUUAAUUUUGGUUAUUAUAUUUUGGCAUGUCUUCUAUGAUGUUAAUUACCAUGGUUGUAACUAAGAACCACAUUCUUUACAAUCAAGUUCAAGACUUGCAAGGUAGAGUCCUUGUAAGGAAAUGUGGGUGUAGGAACAUAUGCUAAUUGAAGCCAACAAUGCGUUGAAAAGGAAGGUACAAAUUCUCAAAUGAACCUGGUCUUUUCUUUUAGAUUGACAUCCUGUGUUAUAGGAAGUGGGUCUGGUCAGCCUAGUCCAAAGGCCAUUAACAGGCCUUCUAAGUCCAGCUUGGUUAAAGGGGAUUUAGGAAUUUGAGUUGUAUUAGUAGUAACAUCGAUGAAGAAAAACUUCAUGCUAGAUUUCUAUUGCAUACUAACUGUCAAAAUUGAAGAAAAUUUUGGCUUAGUUGAUCAGAAUAUGGAUCCCAGUUGCAGUAGUUUUCAAUAAGUUUUCCCCUUGUCAGCAGCAGAAAAACUGGGAUCAAAAUCCAAAACCCACCAUAUGGUGGAUACAAAUUGGUAUAACAAGUCUUACUAAAUCUUGAGGAAAGUUCUUUAGAUGGUGGAUUUGUUACUAAAUGGAACCCAUUUGAUGGGUCUUGACAUGGUUUCUUGGUGGUCAUUGCAAGUCAUUCUUUAGAAUUGCAUUCAAAUUUUACAGGUUUGAGCUUCUACUCUCUCAUAAUAUACCUCUUGUUUUUGGUUUUUUAUUGUGACAACAAAUUUCCAAGUACAUUGAUGAGAACUAUAAAAAUUUCCAGAAUUUUCUCAACUUCCAUCUGAUAAUGUGCCGGUCGGUUUCAGUUGUGGUUAUGGUUGGGCAGGUAAUCCUCUCUGUUUUCAGAAUAAGGCUAUUUUUUUUUACAUCUAUACUUAUGCAGCCAUCAUACCUCUUCAAAUUAUGAACUUGUUGUGUUGGAAAAAUCAACAUUUGUAUACUCUUGUUUCAAUUCCAAUUCAAUCAAAAAACAGUUCCAUUAGAAGGUCAAGAUUUGGUGUAUGCAGAAUUGUUAUAGAUGAGACGCUAGGUUGCAGCCAGUCGGUUCCUUUGGAUGAUUGCAGCUCAAACCUGAUAAUCACCCAUCUUGGUUGGGGGUGCAGCUGAGCUAUGGUUGAUCUUUUGGGGCAUUGGGGUAGAGAUCUCUCUCUUUGUGGAUGGAUAUAUAGUAGGAUAGUCUCCUACUUCAUGCUAAGUAAGCACCCUCUCCCUCUCACAAAGAUAUAUAGUAGGUUGUCAAACUGCCCAAGGUAAGCCUAUUUUCUUUCUUUCUCCUUUUAUUAUGGUGAAAUUCCUUCAUAUUCAGCAUGCUAGAAAAAGUUACAAAUCUUCUGUUUGUUAAAUAGAGAAACAAUUCUUCUUUCCUUAUAAAGGCCUGCAAUAUUUGGAAUGGUUGUGGUGUGUAUACAGGGGCUUGACACAAUGGUGGGUGAACAUGGAACUCAGCUAUCUGGGGGACAGAAGCAAAGAAUUGCAAUUGCAAGAGCCAUUUUGAAGAACCCACGAAUCCUUCUUCUUGAUGAAGCAACAAGUGCACUGGAUGCUGAGUCUGAACGCAUCGUCCAAGAUGCUGAGUCUGAACGCAUCGUCCAAGAUGCACUAGUAAAUGUAAUGGUAAAUCAAACUACUGUAGUUGUUGCACAUCGUUUGACAACUAUCAGGAAUGCAGAUAUCAUAGCAGUGGUUUAUCAGGGGAAAAUCGUUGAGCAAGGUAACAUUAAACCUGGAAUUUCAUCUUAGAACUUCGGACUUAUGCACCAAACUAAAAUUUUCAAAAAUUGAAUCUUAGGAACUCAUGGGGAGCUGAUCAAGGACCCUGAUGGAGCUUACACUUAGCUAGUUCACCUGCAAUAAGGAAACAGUCAAGCUGGAAUUGGCCUAUGUGUUCCAAAACUUUCAGCAUGCCCCACAUUCUUUUAUAUUGGAUAUGUGGGUUUUGUAGUUUUAUGAUUUUAAACAUUAUAUCACGGGUUAUUUAUAUAAAUUUGAAGAAUGCUUCAGUUGUGUUGAGAGAAUGGAAAAAGAAUUAAGAACUUACUUAGGAUAUUUAUAUCAUGGAUGGGCAACAAUUAUAUAUAUAUAUUCUUAAAAGCAAAAUUAAUUUCUUUCCUAGUUUAGGGAAAAUCCUACCAGGAAAUGAAAUAUAUUAAAACAAAUAUUUGUAAUGCUUAGGAAAAACUCAUGGAUAACAGGUCUUCUUGCUCACAGUGGAAAUGAGGGCUGACGAUUCUGCCUUUUUCUUUUUCAGGUGGGAAUUGAGCUAGUUCCAAGGGAUUUUGAUAUGGAUUCUCCAUACCCUUUCCAAAAACUUGACGUUAUUAGCUUGGUACUAGUGCAUAAGGUGAUGAACAAACUAUGCUAUUUGAUAGAAGAAUAGAACACAUUGUUUCUUAUCUUGUCUUACAAAUAAUUAAACCAUUCAAUAAUCUGGAUUUAAUUGCAUUUCUUUUUCUUUUCAGCAAGCAGCAUGCUCAUCUGCAGAUGGACGACAACUUCUAGAAUCAUCAAAAACAACUAUAGAUAAGGGAAAACUUGAAGAUGCAGUCAGCUAUGGGACAAAGGUAUUUGAUUUAAAAGUCCAUCGGUUUGUCAUUUCUAUAUGUAAACUACCAAUCGGGUGCAGUAGAAAAAUCUUUCUUUGCAUGUUCAUUGGUAAAUUAAUAUGCUAUCUUUUGUAUUUUUGUGGUUUUUGCAGGCUCUGGCAAAGCUGGUCGCAGUUUGUGGUCCCUACCAUCGAAUGGCAGCAGGAGCUUACAGCCUCCUUGCUGUAGUUUUGUAUCAUACAGGGAACUUCAAUCAGGUCCAUUACGAGUCCAUUUUGUCUUGGUGUUCAUGGAAUCUUCUCUGUUAUAGAAUAAUAAAUUUGUUGUCUUUCUCAAUGUUCUGUUAAACUAUUUCUAGAAAUGCACCUAAUAGAUUUGCCUUUUAGGCUCCAGUCACUAUAUAGGCAUCUAACCUUCAAAGAUAUUUGGUGUUUUCCUUUCUUUGAGAAAGUUUACAUGAUAUGUGUUAGAGUUUGGUGACCCAAAUUCUACUUGGUCCGACCCAAAAAGCUUGCAGUGCGACAUAUGUAUUAAAGAAAAAUUAUGAGAUUUUUUCGGAGGUUUGUGGUGGUAGUGCAGGGAUCAGGUUAUGAUGUUUAUGCGUUGGUGUAUAGGAUUUAGGGUUGUGAUGUUUAUGCCUAUGUAGUAGUCGUUCGAAUCUCUCCCCUUUUGCACCAAUUUUUGACAUAGUGGAUUUUUUUCUCCUUUGCCUAUGGUUUUUCCCAUCUAGGGUUUUCCACGUAAAUCUAUGCUGUUUUUUUUUUUUUUUACUUGUUGCCUAUUCUUAAUUCAAGAGUUGUCCCAAUUCAAGGCCACAAUUUAUCAACAAAAGGCAUUGGACAUCAAUGAGAGAGAACUAGGACUUGAUCAUCCAGACACGAUGAAGAGUUAUGGAGAUCUUGCUGUGUUCUAUUACGGACUUCAACACACUGAACUGGCUCUCAAGUAUGUUGGUCUUGUGUAAUGCACUAUUGACUUUUCAUGUAUUAUUCAUAAACAUUUGUGCUUUCUUGCUUGAAAUUUCAGCAGUCAAGUUAUAUUGUUUUUCCCUUUUUUGAUACUUACCAUUUUUUUUGUUGCUACUGGAACUCAAACUUGAAACCUCCCUUCUUUAUUGUUGUUGUCAUUUAGUUUUUUUUUCACUAAAUAAGAUGAUAUUGUCAUUUAUUAUUGAGAGUCUGACAUGAAUAAAAGGGAAAUGGCUAUGCCAAUUAGUUUUUUAAAACCUUUAUUCUGACACUGUUUGAAUGAUAAUUUUGUUAAGUCAAGUCCCAAUUAUAUGCAGUGGAAAAAAAUUGAGGAAUUUUAUUUGACUAAAGAUUAUGAAGGAUGUUGAAUCAAAGGUUUGCACUAAUAUGUAAAUGCUAUUGGAGCACUAAUAUAAGAAUAUAUCCACCUUUGUUUGACUUGCCAAUGGCAUCUAAUAUAUUUCACUUGUUUAGUUUUCUGUGCACCAUUUGGACUGUACUUUAGAAAUAAUAUAUUAGCUUGUCUUCCAUAUUACUUGUUGAUCUUCUAAACAACUUCUAAUCAAUUCUCUAAUAGUUGAUAAAGCCAUAUGGUUCUGUCAAUAGAGAAUCUGGUGUACCUAUUGGAUAGAUUAGAAAGUGCAUUGGUUACAAAGAUGCUGACACAAAGUUUCACAUGACGCUACUAAAAUAUGAUUGUUAUUGAUCUGCUGACCUAAAAGUCAACCUGGUAGUAUGGUCAUAUAUAUGUAGUAUGUCCUCCUUCCAGGACUGCUUAUAUCUCUUUUGCUUGUUCAUUUCUUUUUAUUUAAUUGUUUGAUUCUUUUAAUAUCGGGCCUUUUUGUCUUUUAGGACUGCUUUACAUGAAGUAUACUGAUUAUUGGAUGCAUGUAGUUGAUGGGUUUAUCAAUAAUGUCAUACUAGUUUGUGCUCUAGUUUCUUUCUUAUGCUAGGAACAUAUGUACUUACCAUUAGGAUUAUAGGAGGAACUAUUGCUUCUGUAGUGAUUCCAUUUUGUUCUAUUAGGUUUCAGCAACAUGCUUCACUUUUUAUUUUGUUUGAAUGCUAAAUCAUAGUUUUUUUUUAAUUAACUUGAAAAUAACACCCCGUCUAAUCAUAACUUUUUCUGUAAGUUAUCAUGCUUUUGCCAAAAUGUUUUAAGCGAUGUAAAACACAGAAUUCUAUACUAUCCUGUUUAUCCAUGGCCUUUUUGCUUCCAUUUGAUUUUUACCCCUGGCCACAUUUUUCAUUGAUCAGAUAUGUAAAACGCGCUCUGUAUCUUCUGCAUCUCACUUGUGGCCCAUCUCAUCCAAACACUGCUGCGACAUAUAUCAAUGUGGCUAUGAUGGAGGAAGGCCUUGGACAUGUGCAUGUGGCCCUUAGAUAUCUUCAUAAACCUCUAAAGUGCAACCAAAAGUUACUUGGUCCAGAUCAUAUUCAGGUUCCUCCCUAUUUUAGCUUCUUCCUGUCUUUUAUUUUUUUGUUUAUUUUUUUUUCCAUUUAUAAUAUAGUCUUUUGAUUUAUAGUUGAUGAUGGAAUGAAAUAUUUUAUCUAAUGUGAGUUGGAACAUGGAUUACUUUGAUAUAUUGAAUGAGAACAUGGUGUGUGCUUACUUUGUGGUAUGACAAGGGUAGGCUCAUUGAACACUCACUUUGAAUGUGGUUGGUUUGAAAGUGCUUUUCUUUUUUUCUUUUUUCAUUUUUUGGUUUUUUUUUAAAUGUAUCAAGCACUUUUAGUUCAUAAUUUUCUCAAAGAUGCAUGGGAGCCUGUUAUUAAAUAAUGAAUUAUGUAGAGUGUAACUGUGUAAGAUCAAGUUUAACUAUGUGCUCUUAUCGUGCUCAAGUUUCUGCCUGCCCCUACCCACAACUCUGUUAUUGUUGUUGUAAUUGUUUUAUUAGAAGGAAAAUAAUUCGUUGCAUUGAACUUGGUGAGGACAAUGAAGGAUGAGAAAUCCUUCCAAGAUUUACAGAACUGAUAAAAAAGGAGCCUGGUGUGCUGUUUUUAAUACUAUUUUUAUUUUUUCAGUUGUUAUUAGUAUAGUAGUACUUUUACUACCAUUACACUAAUGGACACUGCCUUGAUAUCUUUUAAUGGAAGUUUUGUUUGUGUUUAUUAUGACUAUGCCAGAGUUUCUUAUUUGCUAUACCAUAGAAGGGGUAUAAUUGUAAUCUUCCCUGUUUUAGACCCAAUAAUCUUAUUUGCUAUAUUAUAGGAUGUUGAGCUUGUAAUGGUUUUUCCCCUCUUCAUUUUUUUUUUCCAAAAAGAGCAUCUCUUUUAUGCUUAACUUAAUAGUACUAAAUGGCUUAUUAGCUAAGGGUUUUCUCUUAGGAUCUGAUUCUCCAGUACAGAUUGAAGAUACGUAUUCUGCACAGUAGGGAAUCAGUACUGUUUAUAAGCAUAAUUUGUGCCAUAAGGUUAAAGCUAUCCAAUGAUUCUAUUGGGGUUGCUUCUGCUCAACUGUAAGCUUGGGGCUUUGCCUUCUUUCACAAAUACAUGUGAUAGGAUAGAAAAGUUCACAUGUUACCAUGUUGAUAAUAAUAUACUACACCUGCACGUAAGGACACAGCUUGCUCUCUCUUGCUCUUAGCUUCUGUCCAUGGUCAAGUUUGAGAUGAAGCUGUUCUGACUUAUGUAUAUAUUUUUUUAUCAAAGACCUUGCUUUGUCAUCUCUAGUUUCUGUCUUGGGAGAAAGGAUCUUAAAUUUAUGAUACUUGUCUCAUAGAAUCAACAAUACUAUAAAAGUUAAAAGAAAAACCAUCUAUAUGCUCCUGAAAAAUGCAAGCUCACAUUAUCAGGCCAUGACAUGAUAAAUAAUUUUUUUUUUCAAAAAAUUUAUUGAUUAUAAUAUUAAAAAUAUGCCAAAAUAUCGGGAUAAACUAAUAGACAGUUCUCAAGGAAAGAAUCAUGAGUCCAUGUUUUUCCUUGAUCUUGCAAAGUGGGCUAUUGGGUUUCUGUGUUAGAGACAAAAUGCUAAAAUCUUACUGAAGAUAUGUGUGUGUAAAUAUGUAUAUUAGUGAUAUAUAAACACACACGAAUUGGCUCAUUUUUUUUAGUUUAUCCGGCUAUUCAUUUUCUCAAAACCAAAAAAUAAAUUAUCUGAGUAAUAAUCCUAUAACCUGCUUGAACUGGUGAAAUGUCUAGGUCACCAGUUACUUCUCCUAUCACUCUUUUCAUCAUGAUUAUUAAGACCAAAAAGUAUAUCGAAUCCCUUUUUGUUUGAAUAGAAUGUUGUCUUUUGCAUCACACCUUCGAUUUAUCCCAUGUAGCUCUUUAUUUCAGUCAAGAAUUUCAGCAAAUAGCCCCACUGUUUAUGGAUAAAAAGGACAGGCCAAUUCUUUAUUAUAUAUCUUAUAAUUGCAUGUUUCUUGUGUAUCUUGUUGGGUUAUAGAAUUUGUUGCGCUGAGAUUGCUUUUUUACUUGAUUGGUUCAUCAAACUAAAAACCUGGAUAGAACCUUCUCAAUAUGCUAUAUAAAUUAAGCCUACUUUUCAGUGUUGGCUUGUAUUUUUAUCCUCAGUUGGAUCUACCUAUCUGCCUGAUUACCACCCUAUUACAAGUAACUUCACUUAGAUUGCAAUCUUAGAGACUAUAAAGAAUUCUGUGUAGAUGUGUGCCAACUACUGUUCUUCUGAACUGGGGAAUUUGUAAUCCUACCAUAGGUUGUAAGUUUUGGGUCUGUAAAACUGAUUAGUUUAUUACCAAAUUAUCUAUGCAUUUUGCUGAUGUAAGUCUCCUGUUUCUCUUCAUGUUUAUUAUGAUUGUUCAAGGUUGUAACAAUGAAUUCCUCUUGUUUAUAUGCAGAACCUCUGAACAAGGCUCUUCUGGUACGUAUAACUUGCAUUGAAAGCUCUCUUAGAUAUUCAAAGUUUUUCAUCCACCUAUUUCUCACAUACUAAAGUAGAGAUACUUCAUAUUUUCUUCUAAGGUCAAUCAUUGUUGUGAAAGAAUGGAAUCAUCUGUGUUGCCUUUGGAGUUCAAUGGGAACACUGAUCGGUGCAUAAUUCAAAGUGCAAUGUCGCAAUCUGUCCAAAGCAAUGUUUCUGGAGUUGUGGAUGCUUCUGCUUCUGAGGUGUCUAUACAUGAAUGUUUUAGGACCACAUCAAUGUUUGAGAAACAGGCUAAGGUGGAUGUCAUACUUCUAAAUUUUUGUAUUAUUCAUUGAACUUGCUUCCAGAAAUAAUCUGGAUUUGAAUAGCUUGUAAUGGGCAUUUGGUUUUUUGUUCAUCAUCAUCAAGCCUUUUAUUGGCAAUUUACUUGCUUUGGAGCUCUUUAUUGUUAUUGGGUUGUUCAUUGUCUUUGUAGUGGGUGCAUUCAUAACAUGGAGGACAUUGGUGUUAACGGGUAUCUUCAAAUGCUCUACAAUUGUUCUUGUUAAAGAAAGAUAUUUGACAACUAUUUGGUUUCAUUAAUAACCCCAGCCCAGCCCAACCCAACCCAGCAUAGCCCAGCACAGCCCAGCCUAGCCCCGCCCCGCCCCGCCAACACAUACCCGGGUCGAGACGGGCCGGGGAUGAGAUUUUAAUUUUAACUCUAUAACGGGGAUGGGAAUGCCCCACCCCGCCCCGCCCCGGGUUUGGGACGGGUUGGGAAAUAACUAAAUAUUUUGGGAUGGGAAUGUGAUAGGGGUGACCCGUCCCAAACCCGCCCGUUGCCAUUCCUAGGUAGUUUCCUAUUUUUCACAGGAAAAAAAAGGUACCAAAAAAUUUUCCACAAAAUUUGUUGACUAGGGAUACCGUUAAGAAAAAUGCCAAUUAGAAAAACUAAACUAUUGUAGAAAAGUUUGACUAAUUCCUUGGACGGCUUCCUAUUUUUCAUGGAAAAAUAGACACCAAAAAUUUUUCCACAAAAUUUGUGGGCUAGGGAUAAUGUCAAGAAAAUUCUAAUUAGAAAUGUUUGACUAAUUUCUUUGAUGAUUUCCUUUUUUUCAUGAAAAAACAAACACUAAAGGAUUUUCCACAAAGUUUGUGGGCUAGGAAUAAAAUAAAACAAAAAAUACCAAUUAGAAAAACUAAAUAGUGAUAGGAAAGUUUAACUAUUUCUUUUGGCGAUUCCCUAUUUUUCAUGAAAAAAAAAUAAGCAUAAAAAGAAUUAUUAGGAAGGAUCGUUUGGGAAGAUUUGGGAAAGUCUACAUUAGCUUUGACACUUCAAACAUUGCAAGGUGGUUGAUGUAUCUAACAAGAAUUGAAGAGUAAAAGUGUUUGGCCAAUUCCUUUAAUGGUUUCUUUUUGCCAUAGAGAAAUGGGCACUGAAAAAUUGGGUACUAUUGUUUCCUAAAGAAUUAAUCAAAAUGGCAUAAAAACAUCAAAUAUGUGAGGAUUGUUUUUAAGUAUUGUUAAAAUGGAAAUAUCACAUGAGACACAUGUGCUAAAUUAAUCUAGGUAUAUAAUGAAAAAUUUGACAAUAUACCUAGAAUGUGUUUUUAAAUUAUUUAAUUUUACAAAAAUGAGAGAAAAUAAAUAAAAUAAAUUUGAAAUAAUAUAUAAAAAUAAUUUAUUAAUAUUAAAUUUGUUAUUAAUCUUAAAUCUAUUUUUUUUUCUUUUUUUCUUUACAUUUCUUCCUAAAUUUUCAAGUAAUUAGUUUCCCACCGUUAUAAAAAGAAUUAACAGGAUGGACUCUUUGGAGGUGUCAACUUUCAAUAUCCAAUGUAGUGGGUAGUUGAUGUUGUCAACACGGAGUGAAAUAAGGGUUUUAAAUCUUGGUAGUUGAUGAGUAAUGUCUUAUUUAAAUUUUCUUUCUCAUUCUCUUUUAAUAAAUUAAGUAUGACAUAAUUUUCUUUUUUGAUAAAUUAAGUAUAACAUCAUUUUCUUUCUCAUUCUCUCUACCAACCACUAGAAAAAAAUAUUUAGAUAUAAUCUUUCUUAAUUACAAAUAUUUUUUAGAAUUUUCUUUUAAUUUCUUUAAAAAAAUUUAUUAGAUAAAUAAAUUCCAAAAUAAAUAAACACUUGAUAUACAUGAUUUAUUGAUGAGUUUAAUCAUUUUUUAACUACUAAAAAAUAAUAAACCAAAAUUAAUAUAUAAUAUGUUAAGACUUUACUCUUAUUCUUAUGCGCACAACUAUGCCUUCUAAAUUUUCUAUCUAAAUAGAUUCUAAACAAGUAAGACUUGUUAUUUUAAAUUCUUUAAUGAAUCUUUUAAUUAUUAGGAAUAAUUUGGAUUUUAAAAAUUGGCUUAAUUAAUUGUAAAGUAAAAAAGGUGUCAAUGUAGAAACAUUCAAUAUUGUAGGGUAGUUGAUGUUUAUAACAACAGGUACCAAAAUUUGUUACACAAUUUAUGGGCUAGGGAUAAUGUCCAAAAAUGCCAAUUAGAAAAACUAAACACUAGGGAGCUAUGACUAAUAAUCUUUGUUUUUCAUGAGAAGAUGGGUGCAACCGUAUUUAAAAGCAUUAUUAGGAAGGAUAGUCUAGAAAGGUAUCAUGUUGAAAUUUCAAAUAUCGUGGGGUCAUUGAUGUAUCUAGUAAGGAUUGAAUGGUAGAAUGUUUGACCAAUUCCUUUAAUGGUUUUUUUUUGUUAUGAAUGUUAUUAUUUUCAAAAGAAUUAAUUGGAAUGACAUAAAAUCAUAUAAAUUGAUGGUGACAAGCAAUGUAAAAAUGAGAAAAGUUUGGACGUCUAAAUUGGUUUAGCAUUUGUCUUAAAUGAUGGAGAAAUACGAUGACCAAAAAACUAGCUUGGAAGACAUGAGUCAAGAUAGUUGAGUUGGGUUUCGGCAAUUGUGUAUUUAAUUAUCACUACAAUAUGCAACUUCAAAUCUCUCAUCUCUCUCUCUCUUUCUCUCUCUAAGUUUAUGAUGUUGAGGGAAGAAAAUCUUGUGGGAGUAGGGCUCCUAACAAUCCUCCAUGUGUGCUUCCUUUCUGUUUGCGUUGCUGAUAAAAAUCAGACCUUCAAAUCUUCUUGCGGAGAUAUGAACAUCAGUGACCCUUUCCAAUUGGUAGAUGAUUAUGCGUCUGACCUCGGUUAUCCUUACUUGAACUUGAUCUGUGAAAAUAAUCGUACUAUGGUAAACCUCGAUUACGGCGGAAAAUACCAUGUUGCAGACAUCAACUACAGUAGCCAUACCAUUCGGGUAGUGGAUCCGGGCCUAAAGAAAAAGGGCAUGGG
RNAcentral lists this long non-coding RNA (58484 nucleotides) under Vitis vinifera (wine grape). RNAcentral's name for it is "long non-coding RNA (VVIN_LNC007645)". The record is from RNAcentral. Lineage: Eukaryota; Viridiplantae; Streptophyta; Magnoliopsida; Vitales; Vitaceae.